This 79317-nucleotide long non-coding RNA is filed under the name Sorghum bicolor (sorghum). RNAcentral's name for it is "long non-coding RNA (SBIC_LNC004904)". Lineage: Eukaryota; Viridiplantae; Streptophyta; Magnoliopsida; Poales; Poaceae. The record is from RNAcentral.
UGGUACUCCUAGGUGAAGAGGCUCAAAUGGAUGCUUGGUUCGGUCUGUUUAGAGAUAAUGCUAAUCUUGAUGCAAGAUAGGUGCACGAUUUGCAUGGAACAUACCAUAUGCUUAGAAAUCAAUUUGGAUACACCAGAUGGAACUCCUAGAUGACAUGUGUCAUAUGGAAUCUCACUUUGGUCCGUUUAGAGACAGUGUUAGUUCCGGUGCAAGAUAGGUGCACGGUUUGCACCUAAUGCAUCAUAGGAUAAGAAACCAUUUCAAACUCACCCGAUGGUACUCCUAGGUCAAGGGGCUCAAGUGAGAGCUCGGUUUGCUCUGUUUGGAGAUAGUGCUAAUCUUGAUGCAAGAUAGAUGCACGGUUUGCAUGGAACAUAUGAUAUGCUCAGAAAUCAAUUAGGACGCACCUGAUAUAACUCCUUGAGGAUGUGUGUCAUAUGGAAUCUUGCUUCGGUUCGUUUAGAGACUGUGUUAGUUUUGGUAGAAGAUAUGUGCACGGUUUACGCCUAAUGCACCAUAGGCUAAGAAACCAUUUUAGACGCACCCGAUGGUACUCGUAGUUGAAGAGGCUCAAGUGGAGGCUCGAUUUGGUCUGUUCGGAUAUAGUGCUAAUCUUGAUGCAAGAUAGUUGCACAGUUUGCAUGGAACAUACCAUAUGUUAAGAAGUUAAUUUGGACGCACCAAAUGGAACUCCUAGAUGACGUGUGUCAUAUGGAAUCUCGCUUCGGUCUGUUUGGAGACAAUGUUAGUUUUGGUGCAAGAUAGGUGCAUAGUUUGUGCCUAAUGCACCAUAGUCUUAGAAACCAUUUUUUAUGCACCUGUUUGUACUCCUAGAUGAAGAGGCUCAAGUGGAAGCUCGGUUCGGUCUGUUUGGAGAUAGUGCUAAUCUUGAUGCAAGAUAGGUGCACGGUUUGCAUGGAACAUAUCAUAUGCUUGGAAAUCAAUUUGGAUGCACCUGACGAAACUCCUUGAUGACAUGUGUCAUAUAGAGUCUCACUUUGGUCUGUUUAGAAAUAGUGUUCGUUUCGGUGUAAGAUAUGUGCAUUGUUUGCGCCUAAUGCACCAUAGUCUAAGAAACCAUUUUGGAAGCACCUGUUGGAUCUUUGGUGAAGAGGCUCAAGUGGAAGCUCGGUUUUAUCUGUUUAGAUAUAGUGCUAAUCUUGAUGCAAGAUAGGUGCAUGAUUUGCAAGGAACAUACCAUAUACUUAGAAAUCAAUUUGGACGCACCCAAUGGAACUCCUAGAUGACGUGUGUCAUAUGGAAUCUUGCUUCGGUCUGUUUGGAGACAGUGUUAGUUUUGGUAGAAGAUAUGUGCAUGGUUUACGCCUAAUGCACCAUAGGCUAAGAAACCAUUUUAGAUGCACCCGAUGGUACUCGUAGUUGAAGAGGCUCAAGUGGAGGCUCGAUUUGGUCUGUUCGGAUAUAGUGCUAAUCUUGAUGCAAGAUAGUUGCAUAGUUUGCAAGGAACGUACCAUAUGUUAAGAAAUCAAUUUGGACGCACCCAAUGGAACUCCUAGAUGACGUGUGUCAUAUGGAAUCUUGCUUCGGUCUGUUUGGAGACAUUGUUAGUUUUGGUGCAAGACAGGUGCAUAGUUUGCGCCUAAUGCACCAAUGUCUAAGAAACCAUUUUGGACGCACCCGAUGGUACUCCUAGGUAAAAGGCUCAAGUGAAAGCUCGAUUUGGUCUAUUUGGAGAUAGUGCUAAUCUUCAUGCAAGAUAGAUGCACGGUCUGCAUGGAACAUACCAUAUGCUUAGAAAGUAAUUUGGACACACCCGAUAGAACUCCUUGAUGACGUGUGUCAUAUGGAAUCUCGAUUUGGUGUGCUUAGAGACAAUAUUAGUUUCGGUGCAAGAUAUGUGCACGGUUUGCGCCUAAUGCACCAAAGUCUAAGAAACCAUUUUGGAAGCACCUGUUGGUACUCCUAGGUCAAGGGGCUAAAGUGAAAGCUUGGUUUGGUCUGUUUGGAGAUAGUGCUAAUCUUGAUGCAAGAUAGAUACACUAUUUACAUGGAACAUACGAUAUGCUCAGAAAUCAAUUAGGACGCACCUAAUAUAACUCCUUGAUGAUGUGUGUCAUAUGGAAUCUUGCUUUGGUUCGUUUAGAGACAGUGUUAGUUUCGGUGCAAGAUAGGUGCACGGUUUACACCUAAUGCACCAUAGGCUAAGAAACCAUUUUAGACGCAGCCGAUGAUACUUGUAGUUGAAGAGGCUCAAUUGGAGGCUCAAUUUGGUCUGUUUGGAUAUAGUGCUAAUCUUGAUGCAAGAUAGUUGCACAGUUUGCAUGGAACAUACCAUAUGUUAAGAAAUCAAUUUGGACGCACCCAAUGGAACUCCUAGAUGACGUGCGUCAUAUGGAAUCUCGCUUCGGUCUGUUUGGAGACAAUGUUAGUUUUGGUGCAAGAUAGGUGCAUAGUUUGUGCCUAAUGCACAAUAGUCUAAGAUACCAUUUUUGACGGACCUGUUUGUACUCCUGGAUGAAGAGGCUCAAGUGGAAGCUCUGUUUCAUCUGUUUGGAGAUAGUGCUAAUCUUGAUGCAAGAUAGGUGCAUGAUUUGCACGGAACAUACCAUAUGCUUAGAAAUCAAUUUAGACGCACCCAAUGGAACUCCUAGAUGACGUGUGUCAUAUGGAAUCUUGAUUCGGUCCAUUUGUAGACAUUGUAAGUUUUAGCGCAAGAUAGGUGCACAGUUUGCGCCUAAUGCACCAUAGUCUCAGAAACCAUUUUGGAUGCACUAUUUGGUACUCCUGGGUGAAGAGGCUCAAGUGGAAGCUUGGUUCGAUCAGUUUGGAGAUAGUGCUAAUCCUUAUGCACGGUAGGUGCAUGGUUUGCAUGGAACAUACCAUAUGCUUGGAAAUCAAUUUGGAUGCACCCGAUGGAACUCCUUGAUGACGUGUGUCAUAUGGAAUCUCGCUUCGGUCCAUUUGGAGACAUUGUUAGUUUCGGUGCACGAUAGGUGCAUAGUUUGCACCUAAUGCACCAUAGUGUAAGAAACCAUUUUGGACGCACUUGUUGGUACUCCUAGGUGAAGGGGCUCAAGUGGAUGCUCGGUUCGGUCUGUUUGGAGAUUGUGCUAAUCUUGAUGCAAAAUAGGUGCACGGUUUGCAUGGAACGUACCAAAUGCUUGGAAAUCAAUCUAGAUGCACAUGAUGGAACUCCUAGAUGACAUGUGUCAUACGAAAUCUUGCUUCGGUCUAUUUGGAGACAGUGUUAGUUUUGGUUCAAUAUAGGUGCAAGAUUUGCACAUAAUGCAGCAUAGGCUAAGAAACCAUUUUGGACGCACCUGAUAGUACUCCUAGGUAAAUGGAUCAAGUGAAAGCUCGGUUUGGUCUAUUUCGAGAUAGUGCUAAUCUUGAUGCAAGAUAAAUGCAUGGUCUGCAUGGAACGUACCAUAUGCUUAGAAAUUAAUUUGGACACACCCGAUAGAACUCCUUGAUGACGUGUGUCAUAUGGAAUCUUGCUUUGGUGUGCUCACAGACAGUAUUAGUUCUGAAGCAAGAUAUGUGCAUGGUUUGCGCCUAAUGCACCAAAGUCUAAGAAACCAUUUUGGAAGCACCUGUUGGUACUCCUAGGUUAAGAGGCUCAAGUGGAGGCUCGGUUCGGUCUGUUCAGAGAUAGUGUUAAUCUUGAUGCAAGAUAGGUGCACGAUUUGCAUGGAACAUACCAUAUACUCAGAAAUCAAUUUUGAUGCACCAGAUGGAACUCCUAGAUGACAUGUGUCAUAUGGAAUCUCUCUUUGGUCCGUUUAGAGACAGUGUUAGUUUCCAUGCAAGAAGGUGCACGGUUUGCACCUAAUGCACCAUAGGAUAAGAAACCAUUUUGGACGCACCCGAUGGUACUCCUAGGAUAAGGGGCUCAAGUAAAAGCUCGGUUUGAUCUAUUUCGAGAUAGUGCUAAUCUUGAUGCAAGAUAGAUGCAUGGUUUGCAUGGAACAUACGGUAUGCUCAGAAAUCAAUUAGGACGCACCUGAUAUAACUCCUUGAUGAUGUGUCAUAUGGAAUCUUACUUCGACUCAUUUAGAGACAGUGUUAGUUUUGGUAGAAGAUAUGUGCACGGUUUACGCCUAAUGCACCAUAGGCUAAGAAACCAUUUUAGACGCACCCGAUGGUAGUCGUAGUUGAAGAGGCUCAAGUGGAGGCUCCAUUUGGUCUGUUCGGAUAUAGUGCUAAUCUUGAUGCAAGAUAGUUGCAUAGUUUGCAUGGAACGUGCCAUAUGUUAAGAAAUCAAUUUGGACGUACCCAAUGGAACUGCUAGAUGACGUGUGUCAUAUGGAAUCUUGCUUCGGUCUGUUUGGAGACUAUGUUAGUUUCGGUGCAAGAUAGGUGCAUAGUUUGUGCCUAAUGCACCAUAGUCUAAGAAACCAUUUUUGACGCACCUAUUUGUACUCCUAGAUGUAGAGGCUCGAGUCGAAGCUCGGUUCGGUCUGUUUGGAGAUAGUGCUAAUCUUGAUGCAAGAUAGGUGCACGGUUUGCAUGGAACGUACCAUAUGCUUGGAAAUCCAUUUGGAUGCACCCGAUGGAACUCCUUGGUGACGUGUGUCAUAUGGAAUCUCGCUUUGGUCUGUUUAGAAAUAGUGUUAGUUUCCAUGCAAGAUAUGUUUAUGGUUUGCGCCUAAUGCACCAUAGUCUAAGAAACCAUUUUUGGAAGCACCUGUUGGUUCUCCUAGGUGAAGAGGCUCAAGUGGAGGCUCGGUUCGGUAUCUUUAGAGAUAGUGCUAAUCUUGAUGCAAUAGGUGUACGAUUUGCAUGGAACAUACCAUAUGCUCAGAGAUCAAUUUGGACGCACCAAAUGGAACUCCUAGAUGACAAAUGUCAUAUGGAAUCUCCCUUCGGUCCGUUUAGAGACAAUGUUAGUUUCGGUGCAAGAUAGGUGCACGGUUUGCACCUAAUGCACCAUAGGAUAAGAAACCAUUUUGGACGCACCUGAUGGUACUCGUAGGUCAAGGGGCUCAAGUGAAAGCUCGGAUUGGUCUGUUUGGAGAUAGUUCUAAUCUUGAUGCAUGAUAGAUGCACGGUUUGCAUGGAACAUACGAUAUGCUUAGAAAUCAAUUUGGACGCUCCUGAUAUAACUCCUUGAUGAUGUGUGUCACAUGGAAUCUUGCUUCGGUUCGUUUAGAGACAGUGUUAGUUUUGGAAGAAGAUAUGUGCACGAUUUACGCCUAAUGCAUCAUAGGCUAAGAAACCAGUUUAGACGCAUCCGAUGGUACUCAUAGUUGAAGAGGCUCAAGUGGAGGCUCGAUUUGGUCUCUUUGUAUAUAGUGCUAAUCUUGAUGCAAGAUAGUUGCAAAGUUUACAUGGAACGUACCAUAUGUUAAGAAAUCAAUUUGGAUGCACCCAAUGGAACUCCUAGAUGACGUGUGUCAUAUGGAAUCUCGCUUCGGUUUGUUUGGAGACAAUGUUAGUUUCGGUGCAAGAUAGGUGCAUAGUUUGUGCCUAAUGCACCAUAGUCUAAGAAACCAUUUUUGACGCACUUGUUUGUACUCCUAGAUGAAGAGGCUCAAGUGGAAGCUCGGUUCGGUCUGUUUGGAGAUACUGCUAAUCUUGAUGCAAAAUAGGUGCACUGUUUGCAUGUAACAUACCAUAUGCUUGGAAAUCAAUUUGGAUGCAACUGUCCUUGAUGAUGUGUGUCAUAUGAAAUCUCGCUGUGGUCAGUUUAGAAACAGUGUUAGUUUCGGUGCAAGAUAUGUGGAUGGUUUGCGCCUAAUGCACCAUAGUCUAAGAAACCAUUUUGGAAGCACCUGUUGGUACUUCGGUGAAGAGGCUCAAGUGGAAGCUCGGUUUGAUAUGUUUGGAGAUAGUGCUACUCUUGAUGCAAGAUAGAUGCACGGUCUGCAUGGAACGUACCAUAUGCUUAGAAAAUAAUUUGGACACACCCGAUAGAACUCCUUGAUGACGUGUGUCAUAUGGAAUCUCGCUUUGGUGUGCUUAGAGAUAGUAUUAGUUUCGAUGCAAGAUAUGUGCAGGGUUUGCGCCUAAUGCACCAAUGUCUAAGAAACUAUUUGGAAGCACCUGUUGGUACUCCUAUGUGAAGAGGCUCAAGUGGAGGCUCGGUUCGGUCUGUUUAGAGAUAGUGCUAAUCUUGAUGCAAGAUAGGUGCACGAUUUGCAUGGAACAUACCAUAUGCUCAGAUAUCAAUUUGGAUGCACCAGAUGGAACUCCUAGAUGACAUGUGUCAUAUGGAAUCUCACUUUGGUCUGUUUAGAGACAGUGUUAGUUUCGGUGCAAGAUAGGUGCACGGUUUGCACCUAAUGCACCAUAGGAUACGAAAACAUUUUGGACGCAGCCAAUGGUACUCCUAGGUCAAGGGACUCAAGUGAAAGCUCAGUUUGGUCUGUUUCGAGAUAGUGCUAAUCUUGAUGCAAGUUAGAUGCACGGUUUGCAUGGAACAUACGAUAUGGUCAGAAAUCAAUUAGGACGCACCUGAUAUAACUCCUUGAUGAUGUGUGUCAUAUGGAAUCUUACUUCAUUUCAUUUAGAGACAAUGUUAGUUUUGGUACAAGACAUGUGCACGGUUUACGCCUAAUGCACCAUAGGCUAAGAAACCAUUUUAGACGCAUCCGAUGGUACUCGUAGUUUAAGAGGCUCAAGUGGAGGCUCGAUUUGGUCUGUUCAGAUAUAGUGCUAAUCUUGAUGCAAGAUAGUUUCACAGUUUGCAUGGAACGUACCAUAUGUUAAGAAAUCAAUUUGGACGCACCCAAUGGAACUCCUUGAUGACGUGUGUCAUAUGGAAUCUCGCUUCGGUCUAUUUGGAGACAAUGUUAGUUUCGGUGCAAGAUAGGUGCAUAGUUUGUGCCUAAUGCACCAUAGUCUAAGAAACCAAUUUUGACGCACCUGUUUGUACUCCUAGAUGAAGAGGCUCAAGUGGAAGCUCGGUUCAGUCUGUUUGGAGAUAGUGCUAAUCUUGAUGCAAGAUAGGUGCACGGUUUGCAUGGAACAUACCUGAUGUGAACCCACUAGGGUUUUCGCCUGAUCUUUUGAUGAGAGGCGCUGGAUAACUUGAUUAGUGAAUGGAGAUGACGUUCACGGCCCGACUACAGCCCUCAAGACUGCGCCUUAGCAACCGAUACACCGCCUCCAAUGGCUGUCACGAUCUUGUGGAGCGCAACACCCGGCCACUAGGGCACUCGUCCUGCAAGCAAUCGAAGAACCAGCAAGAACAAGUAGGACAAGUACUAAAUUACCAGAUGUAAAUGAAGGUUUCAAACUCAAUCUCUAAUGAAGUGGGGUUUCGAAAACAAGAAGACGGGCGGCUGGAUCAGCACGCGCGCUUACAAGCAAGUAGCGAAGGCUAAACUUUAUCUAAUCAAAACCCAGUUGUUCAUGGCGGCUCUAGAUGUAAAUAAAUAGAGGGGAGGACGACCAAAGGGGUGCUAGAGUCGUCCUCCAACCCUAGGACGCGUCCCUAAUGGACUCAACUUGAUACAUGGGCCAUUGGUCCAAAAUAGGGUGACGCAGCACCAAAACAGAAAAAGGUGUCGGCACGAAAACAAGGACUGCGCCCGACUCAUAAGCUGCAUAGAUAUGUGGUUGGACCCAUUGGAAAGUAGACUUCAUGAGCUUUCCAACAAGUAUAGGAACGUCCCAGUUGGAGUCCAUAUGACGCCGUGGUGAUCCAUACAAGUUAGAGUUAUUUUCCAGUCCGAAUCCAACUCCCAAAACGUGUUGGGUUUGGACUCUUUGUUUCCUUGCUUUAGAAGCAACGUGGUAACUUGAUAGAGGAUGUUGUGGAGGCUUGGACCUGAUCUCCAAUCACCUUUGUUAAGUUAUCACUCUUCCCAUAUGCAAUCAGCCCUUGAAGUUGGUGUUGCCUCAAAUUCUGAAUGCAGUUGAACCUUCCCUUGCUGAUCUUGUCCAUUAUUCCUGAGCAACACGAAAGUGCACGUGUCUCCAUUAUCUAAAUAUGAUUGACAAGAGUUUAAAACUGAACUUACUUGAAGGUUGAGUUGACGGGCACGAGCACGAGUAAGAGGACCAGCUAUAGGUUGUGCCGGAGAGGAUGUAGGAUAUGUAUCGCUGGUGGAUGUAGGAUAUGUAUCGCUGGUGUUGAUGUCCUCAUCAUCCUCCCUUUCUUGCAUUUGAGUCGUCCUCGACUCAAGCUCAUCUUCCUCACCCAAAUAAGGCUUCAAAUCUGCAAUGUUAAAUGUGGGACUAACCCCAAAAUCUGCAGGAAGAUCAAGCUUAUAUGCAUUCUCAUUAAUUCGUUGCAGCACUUUAAAAGGACCAUCAGCUCUAGGCAUCAAUUUGGAUUUUCUCAGUUCUAGAAAUCUAUCUUUUCGCAAAUGCAACCAAACCAAAUCCCCAGGUUCCAGAAUCAAUUGCUUUCUACCUUUAUCUCCCAAUUUCAUACGAAUCUGGUGGUACCCACUACGUAAAUCAACUUUUGAAAACACAACAGCACCACUCAGUUCAUCUAGCAUAUCAUCUAAUCGUGGAAUAGAGUGUCGAUAUCGAAUGGUGAUAUUAUUAAUAGCUCUACAAUCAACACACAUACGCCAUGUUCCAUCUUUCUUAGGCACUAAAAUUACUGGAACAGCACAAGGACUAAGAGAUUCUCGGACAUAACCUUUGUCUAGUAGUUCUUGCACUUGUCGCUGAAUUUCCUUUGUUUCCUCCAGGUUUGAUGAGGACAUCAAAACCAUAUGCAUGGAAAUCAAUUUGGAUGCACCCGAUGGAACUCCUUGAUGACGUGUGUCAUAUGGAAUCUCGCUUUGGUCUGUUUAGAAACAGUGUUAGUUUUGGUGCAAGAUAUGUGCAUGGUUUGCGCCAAAUGCACCACAGUCUAAGAAACCAUUUUGGAAGCACCUGUUGGUACUUCAGUGAAGAUGCUCAAGUGGAAGCUUGGUUUGAUCUGUUUGGAGAUAGUGCUAAUCCUGAUGCAAGAUAGAUGCAUGGUCUGCAUGGAACGUACCAUAUGCUUAGAUAUUAGUUUGGACACACCCGAUAGAACUCCUUGAUAACGUGUGUCAUAUGGAAUCUCGCUUUGGUGUGCUUAGAGAUAGUAUUAGUUUUGGUGCAAGAUAUGUGUACGGUUUGUGCCUAAUGCACCAAAGUCUAAGAAACCAUUUUGGAAGCACCUGUUGGUACUACUAGGUGAAGAGGCUCAAGUGGAGGCUCAGUUCGGUCUGUUUAGAGAUAGUGCUAAUCUUGACGCAAGAUAGGUGGACGGUUUGCAUGGAACAUACCAUAUGCUCAGAAAUCAAUUUGGAUGCACCAGAUGGAACUCCUAGACGACAUGUGUCAUAUGGAAUCUCACUUCGGUCCGUUUAGAGACAGUGUUAGUUUCGGUGUAAGAUAGGUGCACGAUUUGCACCUAAUGCACCAUAUGAUAAGAAAUCAUUUUGGACGCACCUGAUGGUACUCCUAGGUCAAAGGGCUCAGGUGAAAGCUCGGUUUUUUAAGUUUGGAGAUAGUGCUAAUCUUGAUGCAAGAUAGAUGCACGGUUUGCAUGAACAUACGAUAUGCUCAGAAAUCAAUUACGACACACCUGAUAUAACUUCUUGAUGAUGUGUGUCAUAUGGAAUCUUGCUUCGGUUAGUAUAGAGACAUUGUUAGCUUUGGUAGAAGAUAUGUGCACGGUUUACGCCUAAUGCACCAUAGGCUAAGAAACCAUUUUAGACACACCUAAUGGUACUCGUAGUUGAAGAGGCUCAAGUGGAGGCUCGAUUUGGUCUGUUUGGAUAUAGUGCUAAUCUUGAUGCAAGAUAGUUGCACAGUUCGCAUGGAACGUACCAUAUGUUAAGAAAUCAAUUUGGAAGUACCCAAUGGAACUCCUAGAUGAUGUGUGUCAUAUGGAAUCUCUCUUCGGUCUGUUUGGAGACAAUGUUAGUUUCGGUGCAAGAUAGGUGCAUAGUUUGUGCCUAAUGCACCAUAGUCUAAGAAGCCAUUUUUGACGCAACUGUUUGUACUCCAAGAUGAAGAGGCUCAAGUGGAAGCUCGGUUCGGUCUGUUUGGAGAUAGUGCUUAUCUUGAUGCAAUAUAGAUGCACGGUUCGCAUAAAACUUACCAUAUGCUUGGAAAUCAAUUUGGAUGCACCUGAUGGAACUACUUGAUGACGUGUGUCAUAUGGAAUCUCGCUUUGGUCUGUUUAGAAACCGUGUUAGUUUCGGUGCAAGAUAUGUGCAUGGUUUGCGCCUAAUGCACCGUAGUCUAAGAAACCAUUUUGGAAGCACCUGUUGGUACUUCGGUGAAGAGGCUCAAGUGGAAUCUCGGUUUGAUCUAUUUGGAGAUAGUGUUAAUCUUGAUGCAAGAUAGGUGCAUGAUUUGCAAGAAACAUACCAUUUGCUUAGAAAUCAAUUUGGACGCACCCAAUGGAACUCCUAGAUGACGUGUGUCAUAUGGAAUCUUGCUUUGGUCCGUUCGUAGACAUUGUAAGUUUUAUUGCAAGAUAGGUGCACAGUUUGCGCCGAAUGCACCAUAGUCUAAGAAACCAUUUUGGACGCACUAUUUGGUACUCCUGGGUGAAGAGGCUAGCUUGGUUCGGUCAGUUUGGAGAUAGUGUUAAUCCUUAUGCAAGGUAGGUGCAUGGUUUGCAUGGAACAUAUCAUAUGCUUGGAAAUAAAUUUGGAUGCACCCGAUGGAACUCCUUGAUGACGUGUGUCAUAUGGAAUCUCGCUAUGGUCCAUUUGGAGAUAUUGUUAGUUUUGGUGAAAGUUAGGUGCACAGUUUGCACCUAAUGCACCAUAGUCUAAGAAACCAUUUUAGACGCACUUGUUGGUACUCCUAGGUGAAGGAGCUCAAGUGGAUGCUCGGUUCGGUCUGUUUGGAGAUAGUGCUAAUCUUAAUGCAAGAUAGGUGCACAGUUUGCAUGGAACAAACCAAAUGCUUGGAAAUCAAUCUGGACGCACAUGAUGGAACUCCUAGAUGACGUGUGUCAUACGAAAUCUUGCUUCGGUCUGUUUGGAGACAGUGUUAGUUUCAGUGCAAGAUAGGUGCAAGGUUUGCACAUAAUGCAUCAAGAUGACGUGUGUCAUUCAAAAUCUUGCUUUGGUCUAUUUGGAGUUUGUUAGUUUCGGUGCAAGAUAGGUGCAAGGUUUGCACAUAAUGCAGCAUUGGCUAAGAAACCAUUUUGGACGCACCUGAUGGUACUCCUAGGUAAAAGGCUCAAGUGAAAGCUUGGUUUGGUCUAUUUAGAGAUAGUGCUAAUCUCGAUGCAAGAUAGAUGCAUGGUCUAUAUGGAACACACCAUAUGCUUAGAAAUUAAUUUGGACACACCCGAUAGAACUCUUUGAUGACGUGUGUCAUAUGGAAUCUCGCUAUGGUGUGCUUAGAGACAGUAUUAGUUUCGGUGCAAGAUAUGUGCACGGUUUGCGCCUAAUGCACCUAAGUUUAAGAAACCAUUUUGGAAGCACCUGUUGGUACUCCUAGGUGAAGAGGCACAAGUGGAGGCUCGGUUCGGUCUGUUUAGAGAUAGUGCUAAUCUUGAUGCAAGAUAGGUGCACGAUUUGCAUGGAACAUACCAUAUGCUCAGAAAUACAUUUGGACGCACCAGAUGGAACUCCUAGAUGACAUGUGUCAUAUGGAAUCUCACUUCGGUCCGUUUAGAGAUAGUGUUAGUUUCGAUGCAAGAUAGGUGCACGGUUUGCACCUAAUGCACCAUAGGAUAAGAAAACCAUUUUGGAUGCACCCGAUGGUACUCCUGGUCAUGGGGCUCAAGUGAAAACUCGGUUUGGUCUGUUUGGAGAUAGUGCUAAUCUUGAUGCAUGAUAGAUGCACGGUUUGCAUGGUACAUACGAUAUGCUUAGAAAUCAAUUAGGACACACGUGAUAUAACUCCUUGAUGAUGUGUGUCAUAUGGAAUCUUGCUUCUGUUCGUUUAGUGACAAUGUUAGCUUUGGUAGAAGAUAUGUGCACGGUUUACGCACGUGAUAUAACUGCUUGAUGAUGUGUGUCAUAUGGAAUCUUGCUUCGGUUCGUUUAGUGACAAUGUUAGCUUUGGUAGAAGCUAUGUGCACGGUUUACGCCUAAUGCACCAUAGUCUAAGAAACCAUUUUAGACGCACCCGAUGGUACUAUUAGUUGAAGAGGCUCAAGUGGAGGCUCGAUUUGGUCUGUUCGGAUAUAGUGCUAAUCUUGAUGCAAGAUAGUUGCACAGUUUGCAUGGAACGUACCAUAUGUUAAGAAAUCAUUUUGGAUGCACCUAAUGGAACUCCUAGAUGACGUGUGUCAUAUGAAAUCUCGCUUCGGUCUAUUUGGAGACAAUGUUAGUUUCGGUGCAAGAUAGGUGCAUAGUUUGUGCCUAAUGCACCAUAGUCUAAGAAACCAUUUUUGACACAACUGUUUGUACUCCUAGAUGAAGAGGCUCGAGUGGAAGCUCGGCUCGGUCUGUUUGGAGAUAGUGCUAAUCUUGAUGCAAGAUAGGUGCACGGUUUGCAUGGAACAUACCAUAUGCUUGGAAAUCAAUUUGGAUGCACCCGAUGGAAAUCCUUGAUGACGUGUGUCAUAUGGAAUCUCGCUUUGGUCUGUUUAGAAACAAUGUUAGUUUCGGUGCAAGAUAUGUGCAUGGUUUGCGCCUAAUGCACCGUAGUCUAAGAAACCAUUUUGGAAGCACCUGUUGGUACUUCGGUGAAGAGGCUCAAGUGGAAUCUCGGUUUGAUCUGUUUGGAGAUAGUGUUAAUCUUGAUGCAAGAUAGGUGCAUGAUUUGCAAGAAACAUACCAUUUGCUUAGAAAUCAAUUUGGACGCACCCAAUGGAACUCCUAGAUGACGUGUGUCAUAUGGAAUCUUGCUUUGGUCCGUUCGUAGACAUUGUAAGUUUUAUUGCAAGAUAGGUGCACAGUUUGCGCCGAAUGCACCAUAGUCUAAGAAACCAUUUUGGACGUACUAUUUGGUACUCCUGGGUGAAGAGGCUAGCUUGGUUCGGUCAGUUUGGAGAUAGUGCUAAUCCUUAUGCAAGGUAGGUGCAUGGUUUGCAUGGAACAUAUCAUAUGCUUGGAAAUAAAUUUGGAUGCACCCGAUGGAACUCCUUGAUGACGUGUGUCAUAUGGAAUCUCGCUAUGGUCCAUUUGGAGAUAUUGUUAGUUUUGGUGAAAGUUAGGUGCACAGUUUGCACCUAAUGCACCAUAGUCUAAGAAACCAUUUUGGACGCACUUGUUGGUACUCCUAGGUGAAGGAGCUCAAGUGGAUGCUCGGUUCGGUCUGUUUGGAGAUAGUGCUAAUCUUAAUGCAAGAUAGGUGCACAGUUUGCAUGGAACAAACCAAAUGCUUGGAAAUCAAUCUGGACGCACAUGAUGGAACUCCUAGAUGACGUGUGUCAUACGAAAUCUUGCUUCGGUCUGUUUGGAGACAGUGUUAGUUUCAGUGCAAGAUAGGUGCAAGGUUUGCACAUAAUGCAACAAGAUGACGUGUGUCAUUCAAAAUCUUGCUUUGGUCUAUUUGGAGUUUGUUAGUUUCGGUGCAAGAUAGGUGCAAGGUUUGCACAUAAUGCAGCAUUGGCUAAGAAACCAUUUUGGACGCACCUGAUGGUACUCCUAGGUAAAAGGCUCAAGUGAAAGCUUGGUUUGGUCUAUUUAGAGAUAGUGCUAAUCUUGAUGCAAGAUAGAUGCAUGGUCUAUAUGGAACACACCAUAUGCUUAGAAAUUAAUUUGGACACACCCGAUAGAACUCUUUGAUGACGUGUGUCAUAUGGAAUCUCGCUAUGGUGUGCUUAGAGACAAUAUUAGUUUCGGUGCAAGAUAUGUGCACGGUUUGCGCCUAAUGCACCUAAGUCUAAGAAACCAUUUUGGAAGCACCUGUUGGUACUCCUAGGUGAAGAGGCACAAGUGGAGGCUCGGUUCGGUCUGUUUAGAGAUAGUGCUAAUCUUGAUGCAAGAUAGGUGCACGAUUUGCAUGGAACAUACCAUAUGCUCAGAAAUACAUUUGGACGCACCAGAUGGAACUCCUAGAUGACAUGUGUCAUAUGGAAUCUCACUUCGGUCCGUUUAGAGAUAGUGUUAGUUUCGAUGCAAGAUAGGUGCACGGUUUGCACCUAAUGCACCAUAGGAUAAGAAAACCAUUUUGGAUGCACCCGAUGGUACUCCUGGUCAUGGGGCUCAAGUGAAAACUCGGUUUGGUCUGUUUGGAGAUAGUGCUAAUCUUGAUGCAUGAUAGAUGCACGGUUUGCAUGGUACAUACGAUAUGCUCAGAAAUCAAUUAGGACACACGUGAUAUAACUCCUUGAUGAUGUGUGUCAUAUGGAAUCUUGCUUCUGUUCGUUUAGUGACAAUGUUAGCUUUGGUAGAAGAUAUGUGCACGGUUUACGCACGUGAUAUAACUGCUUGAUGAUGUGUGUCAUAUGGAAUCUUGCUUCGGUUCGUUUAGUGACAAUGUUAGCUUUGGUAGAAGCUAUGUGCACGGUUUACGCCUAAUGCACCAUAGUCUAAGAAACCAUUUUAGACGCACCCGAUGGUACUAUUAGUUGAAGAGGCUCAAGUGGAGGCUCGAUUUGGUCUAUUCGGAUAUAGUGCUAAUCUUGAUGCAAGAUAGUUGCACAGUUUGCAUGGAACGUACCAUAUGUUAAGAAAUCAUUUUGGAUGCACCUAAUGGAACUCCUAGAUGACGUGUGUCAUAUGAAAUCUCGCUUCGGUCUAUUUGGAGACAAUGUUAGUUUCAGUGCAAGAUAGGUGCAUAGUUUGUGCCUAAUGCACUAUAGUCUAAGAAACCAUUUUUGACACAACUGUUUGUACUCCUAGAUGAAGAGGCUCAAGUGGAAGCUCGGUUCGGUCUGUUUGGAGAUAGUGCUAAUCUUGAUGCAAGACAGGUGCACGGUUUGCAUGGAACAUACCAUAUGCUUGGAAAUCAAUUUGGAUGUACCCGAUGGAAAUCCUUGAUGACGUGUGUCAUAUGGAAUCUUGCUUUGGUCUGUUUAGAAACAAUGUUAGUUUCGGUGCAAGAUAUGUGCAUGUUUGCGCCUAAUGCACCGUAGUCUAAGAAACCAUUUUGGAAGCACCUGUUGGUACUUCGGUGAAGAGGCUCAAGUGGAAUCUCGGUUUGAUCUGUUUGGAGAUAGUGUUAAUCUUGAUGCAAGAUAGGUGCAUGAUUUGCAAGAAACAUACCAUUUGCUUAGAAAUCAAUUUGGACGCACCCAAUGGAACUCCUAGAUGACGUGUGUCAUAUGGAAUCUUGCUUUGGUCCGUUUGUAGACAUUAUAAGUUUUAUUGCAAGAUAGGUGCACAGUUUGCGCCGAAUGCACCAUAGUCUAAGAAACCAUUUUGGACGCACUAUUUGGUACUCCUGGGUGAAGAGGCUAGCUUGGUUCAGUCAGUUUGGAGAUUGUGCUAAUCCUUAUGCAAGGUAGGUGCAUGGUUUGCAUGGAACAUAUCAUAUGCUUGGAAAUAAAUUUGGAUGCACCCGAUGGAACUCCUUGAUGACGUGUGUCAUAAGGAAUCUCGCUAUGGUCCAUUUGGAGAUAUUGUUAGUUUUCGUGAAAGUUAGGUGCACAGUUUGCACCUAAUGCACCAUAGUCUAAGAAACCAUUUUGGACGCAGUUGUUGGUACUCCUAGGUGAAGGAGCUCAAGUGGAUGCUCGGUUCGGUCUGUUUGGAGAUAGUGCUAAUCUUAAUGCAAGAUAGGUGCACAGUUUGCGUGGAACAUACCAAAUGCUUGGAAAUCAAUCUGGACGCACAUGAUGGAACUCCUAGAUGACGUGUGUCAUACGAAAUCUUGCUUCGGUCUGUUUGGAGACAGUGUUAGUUUCAGUGCAAGAUAGGUGCAAGGUUUGCACAUAAUGCAACAAGAUGACAUGUGUCAUUCAAAAUCUUGCUUUGGUCUAUUUGGAGUUUGUUAGUUUCGGUGCAAGAUAGGUGCAAGGUUUGCACAUAAUGCAGCAUUGGCUAAGAAACCAUUUUGGACGCACCCGAUGGUACUCCUAGGUAAAAGGCUCAAGUGAAAGCUUGGUUUGGUCUAUUUAGAGAUAGUGCUAAUCUUGAUGCAAGAUAGAUGCAUGGUCUAUAUGGAACACACCAUAUGGUUAGAAAUUAAUUUGGACACACCCGUAGAACUCUUUGAUGACGUGUGUCAUAUGGAAUCUCGCUAUGGUGUGCUUAGAGACAGUAUUAGUUUCGGUGCAAGAUAUGUGCACGGUUUGCGCCUAAUGCACCUAAGUCUAAGAAACCAUUUUGGAAGCACCUGUUGGUACUCCUAGGUGAAGAGGCACAAGUGGAGGCUCCGUUUGGUCUGUUUAGAGAUAGUGCUAAUCUUGAUGCAAGAUAGGUGCACGAUUUGCAUGGAACAUACCAUAUGCUCAGAAAUACAUUUGGACGCACCCGAUGGAACUCCUUGAAGACCUGUGUCCAAAGGGAAACUCACUUUCGUCCCUUUUAGAAAUAGGGUUAAUUUUCAUGGAAGAAAAGGGGCCCCGGNNNNNNNNNNNNNNNNNNNNNNNNNNNNNNNNNNNNNNNNNNNNNNNNNNNNNNNNNNNNNNNNNNNNNNNNNNNNNNNNNNNNNNNNNNNNNNNNNNNNNNNNNNNNNNNNNNNNNNNNNNNNNNNNNNNNNNNNNNNNNNNNNNNNNNNNNNNNNNNNNNNNNNNNNNNNNNNNNNNNNNNNNNNNNNNNNNNNNNNNNNNNNNNNNNNNNNNNNNNNNNNNNNNNNNNNNNNNNNNNNNNNNNNNNNNNNNNNNNNNNNNNNNNNNNNNNNNNNNNNNNNNNNNNNNNNNNNNNNNNNNNNNNNNNNNNNNNNNNNNNNNNNNNNNNNNNNNNNNNNNNNNNNNNNNNNNNNNNNNNNNNNNNNNNNNNNNNNNNNNNNNNNNNNNNNNNNNNNNNNNNNNNNNNNNNNNNNNNNNNNNNNNNNNNNNNNNNNNNNNNNNNNNNNNNNNNNNNNNNNNNNNNNNNNNNNNNNNNNNNNNNNNNNNNNNNNNNNNNNNNNNNNNNNNNNNNNNNNNNNNNNNNNNNNNNNNNNNNNNNNNNNNNNNNNNNNNNNNNNNNNNNNNNNNNNNNNNNNNNNNNNNNNNNNNNNNNNNNNNNNNNNNNNNNNNNNNNNNNNNNNNNNNNNNNNNNNNNNNNNNNNNNNNNNNNNNNNNNNNNNNNNNNNNNNNNNNNNNNNNNNNNNNNNNNNNNNNNNNNNNNNNNNNNNNNNNNNNNNNNNNNNNNNNNNNNNNNNNNNNNNNNNNNNNNNNNNNNNNNNNNNNNNNNNNNNNNNNNNNNNNNNNNNNNNNNNNNNNNNNNNNNNNNNNNNNNNNNNNNNNNNNNNNNNNNNNNNNNNNNNNNNNNNNNNNNNNNNNNNNNNNNNNNNNNNNNNNNNNNNNNNNNNNNNNNNNNNNNNNNNNNNNNNNNNNNNNNNNNNNNNNNNNNNNNNNNNNNNNNNNNNNNNNNNNNNNNNNNNNNNNNNNNNNNNNNNNNNNNNNNNNNNNNNNNNNNNNNNNNNNNNNNNNNNNNNNNNNNNNNNNNNNNNNNNNNNNNNNNNNNNNNNNNNNNNNNNNNNNNNNNNNNNNNNNNNNNNNNNNNNNNNNNNNNNNNNNNNNNNNNNNNNNNNNNNNNNNNNNNNNNNNNNNNNNNNNNNNNNNNNNNNNNNNNNNNNNNNNNNNNNNNNNNNNNNNNNNNNNNNNNNNNNNNNNNNNNNNNNNNNNNNNNNNNNNNNNNNNNNNNNNNNNNNNNNNNNNNNNNNNNNNNNNNNNNNNNNNNNNNNNNNNNNNNNNNNNNNNNNNNNNNNNNNNNNNNNNNNNNNNNNNNNNNNNNNNNNNNNNNNNNNNNNNNNNNNNNNNNNNNNNNNNNNNNNNNNNNNNNNNNNNNNNNNNNNNNNNNNNNNNNNNNNNNNNNNNNNNNNNNNNNNNNNNNNNNNNNNNNNNNNNNNNNNNNNNNNNNNNNNNNNNNNNNNNNNNNNNNNNNNNNNNNNNNNNNNNNNNNNNNNNNNNNNNNNNNNNNNNNNNNNNNNNNNNNNNNNNNNNNNNNNNNNNNNNNNNNNNNNNNNNNNNNNNNNNNNNNNNNNNNNNNNNNNNNNNNNNNNNNNNNNNNNNNNNNNNNNNNNNNNNNNNNNNNNNNNNNNNNNNNNNNNNNNNNNNNNNNNNNNNNNNNNNNNNNNNNNNNNNNNNNNNNNNNNNNNNNNNNNNNNNNNNNNNNNNNNNNNNNNNNNNNNNNNNNNNNNNNNNNNNNNNNNNNNNNNNNNNNNNNNNNNNNNNNNNNNNNNNNNNNNNNNNNNNNNNNNNNNNNNNNNNNNNNNNNNNNNNNNNNNNNNNNNNNNNNNNNNNNNNNNNNNNNNNNNNNNNNNNNNNNNNNNNNNNNNNNNNNNNNNNNNNNNNNNNNNNNNNNNNNNNNNNNNNNNNNNNNNNNNNNNNNNNNNNNNNNNNNNNNNNNNNNNNNNNNNNNNNNNNNNNNNNNNNNNNNNNNNNNNNNNNNNNNNNNNNNNNNNNNNNNNNNNNNNNNNNNNNNNNNNNNNNNNNNNNNNNNNNNNNNNNNNNNNNNNNNNNNNNNNNNNNNNNNNNNNNNNNNNNNNNNNNNNNNNNNNNNNNNNNNNNNNNNNNNNNNNNNNNNNNNNNNNNNNNNNNNNNNNNNNNNNNNNNNNNNNNNNNNNNNNNNNNNNNNNNNNNNNNNNNNNNNNNNNNNNNNNNNNNNNNNNNNNNNNAAGAAACCAUUUUGGAAGCACCUGUUGGUACUCCUAGGUGAAGAGGCACAAGUGGAGGCUCCGUUUGGUCUGUUUAGAGAUAGUGCUAAUCUUGAUGCAAGAUAGGUGCACGAUUUGCAUGGAACAUACCAUAUGCUCAGAAAUACAUUUGGACGCACCAGAUGGAACUCCUAGAUGACAUGUGUCAUAUGGAAUCUCACUUCGGUCCGUUUAGAGAUAGUGUUAGUUUCAAUGCAAGAUAGGUGCACGGUUUGCACCUAAUGCACCAUAGGAUAAGAAAACCAUUUUGGAUGCACCCGAUGGUACUCCUAGGUCAUGGGGCUCAAGUGAAAACUCGGUUUGGUCUGUUUGGAGAUAGUGCUAAUCUUUAUGCAUGAUAGAUGCACGGUUUGCAUGGAACAUACGAUAUGCUCAGAAAUCAAUUAGGACACACGUGAUAUAACUCCUUGAUGAUGUGUGUCAUAUGGAAUCUUGCUUCGGUUCGUUUAGUGACAAUGUUAGCUUUGGUAGAAGAUAUGUGCACGGUUUACGCACGUGAUAUAACUCCUUGAUGAUGUGUGUCAUAUGGAAUCUUGCUUCGGUUCAUUUAGUGACAAUGUUAGCUUUGGUAGAAGCUAUGUGCACGGUUUACGCCUAAUGCACUAUAGUCUAAGAAACCAUUUUAGACGCACCCGAUGGUACUAUUAGUUGAAGAGGCUCAAGUGGAGGCUCGAUUUGGUCUAUUCGGAUAUAGUGCUAAUCUUGAUGCAAGAUAGUUGCACAGUUUGCAUGGAACGUACCAUAUGUUAAGAAAUCAUUUUGGAUGCACCUAAUGGAACUCCUAGAUGACGUGUGUCAUAUGAAAUCUCGCUUCGGUCUAUUUGGAGACAAUGUUAGUUUCAGUGCAAGAUAGGUGCAUAGUUUGUGCCUAAUGCACUAUAGUCUAAGAAACCAUUUUUGACACAACUGUUUGUACUCCUAGAUGAAGAGGCUCAAGUGGAAGCUCGGUUCGGUCUGUUUGGAGAUAGUGCUAAUCUUGAUGCAAGAUAGGUGCACGGUUUGCAUGGAACAUACCAUAUGCUUGGAAAUCAAUUUGGAUGCACCCGAUGGAAAUCCUUGAUGACGUGUGUCAUAUGGAAUCUCGCUUUGGUCUGUUUAGAAACAAUGUUAGUUUCGGUGCAAGAUAUGUGCAUGGUUUGCGCCUAAUGCACCGUAGUCUAAGAAACCAUUUUGGAAGCACCUGUUGGUACUUCGGUGAAGAGGCUCAAGUGGAAUCUCGGUUUGAUCUGUUUGGAGAUAGUGUUAAUCUUGAUGCAAGAUAGGUGCAUGAUUUGCAAGAAACAUACCAUUUGCUUAGAAAUCAAUUUGGACGCACCCAAUGGAACUCCUAGAUGACGUGUGUCAUAUGGAAUCUUGCUUUGGUCCGUUCGUAGACAUUGUAAGUUUUAUUGCAAGAUAGGUGCACAGUUUGCGCCGAAUGCACCAUAGUCUAAGAAACCAUUUUGGACGUACUAUUUGGUACUCCUGGGUGAAGAGGCUAGCUUGGUUCGGUCAGUUUGGAGAUAGUGCUAAUCCUUAUGCAAGGUAGGUGCAUGGUUUGCAUGGAACAUAUCAUAUGCUUGGAAAUAAAUUUGGAUGCACCCGAUGGAACUCCUUGAUGACGUGUGUCAUAUGGAAUCUCGCUAUGGUCCAUUUGGAGAUAUUGUUAGUUUUGGUGAAAGUUAGGUGCACAGUUUGCACCUAAUGCACCAUAGUCUAAGAAACCAUUUUGGACGCACUUGUUGGUACUCCUAGGUGAAGGAGCUCAAGUGGAUGCUCGGUUCGGUCUGUUUGGAGAUAGUGCUAAUCUUAAUGCAAGAUAGGUGCACGGUUUGCAAGGAACAUACCAAAUGCUUGGAAAUCAAUCUGGACGCACAUGAUGGAACUCCUAGAUGACGUGUGUCAUAAGAAAUCUUGCUUCGGUCUGUUUGGAGACAGUGUUAGUUUCAGUGCAAUAUAGGUGCAAGGUUUGCACAUAAUGCUACAAGAUGACGUGUGUCAUUCAAAAUCUUGCUUUGGUCUAUUUGGAGACUGUUAGUUUCGGUGCAAGAUAGGUGCAAGGUUUGCACAUAAUGCAGUAUUGGCUAAGAAACCAUUUUGAACGCACCCGAUGGUACUCCUAGGUAAAAGGCUCAAGUGAAAGCUUGGUUUGGUCUAUUUAGAGAUAGUGCUAAUCUUGAUGCAAGAUAGAUGCAUGGUCUAUAUGGAACACACCAUAUGCUUAGAAAUUAAUUUGGACACACCCGAUAUAACUCCUCGAUGACGUGUGUCAUAUGAAAUCUCGCUUUGGUGUGCUUAGAGACAGUAUUAGUUUCGGUGCAAGAUAUGUAUGGUUUGUGCCUAAUGCACCAAAGUCUAAGAAACCAUUUUGGAAGCACUUGUUGGUACUCCUUGGUGAAGAAGCUCAAGUGGAGGCUUGGUUCGGUCUGUUUAGAGAUAGUGCUAAUCAUGAUGCAAGAUAGGUGCACGAUUUGCAUGGAACAUACGAUAUGCUCAGAAAUCAAUUAGGAUACACGUGAUAUAACUCCUUGAUGAUGUGUGUGAUAUGGAAUCUUGCUUCGGUUCAUUUAGUGACAAUGUUAGCUUUGGUAGAAGAUAUGUGCACGGUUUACGCACGUGAUAUAACUCCUUGAUGAUGUGUGUCAUAUGGAAUCUUGCUUCGGUUCGUUUAGUGACAAUGUUAGCUUUGGUAGAAGCUAUGUGCACGGUUUACGCCUAAUGCACUAUAGUCUAAGAAACCAUUUUAGACGCACCCGAUGGUACUAUUAGUUGAAGAGGCUCAAGUGGAGGCUCGAUUUGGUCUAUUCGGAUAUAGUGCUAAUCUUGAUGCAAGAUAGUUGCACAGUUUGCAUGGAACGUACCAUAUGUUAAGAAAUCAUUUUGGAUGCACCUAAUGGAACUCCUAGAUGACGUGUGUCAUAUGAAAUCUCGCUUCGGUCUAUUUGGAGACAAUGUUAGUUUCAGUGCAAGAUAGGUGCAUAGUUUGUGCCUAAUGCACUAUAGUCUAAGAAACCAUUUUUGACACAACUGUUUGUACUCCAAGAUGAAGAGGCUCAAGUGGAAGCUCGGUUCGGUCUGUUUGGAGAUAGUGCUAAUCUUGAUGCAAGAUAGGUGCACGGUUUGCAUGGAACAUACCAUAUGCUUGGAAAUCAAUUUGGAUGUACCCGAUGGAAAUCCUUGAUGACGUGUGUCAUAUGGAAUCUUGCAUUGGUCUGUUUAGAAACAAUGUUAGUUUCGGUGCAAGAUAUGUGCAUGUUUGCGCCUAAUGCACCGUAGUCUAAGAAACCAUUUUGGAAGCACCUGUUGGUACUUCGGUGAAGAGGCUCAAGUGGAAUCUCAGUUUGAUCUGUUUGGAGAUAGUGUUAAUCUUGAUGCAAGAUAGGUGCAUGAUUUGCAAGAAACAUACCAUUUGCUUAGAAAUCAAUUUGGACGCACCCAAUGGAACUCCUAGAUGACGUGUGUCAUAUGGAAUCUUGCUUUGGUCUGUUCGUAGACAUUGUAAGUUUUAUUGCAAGAUAGGUGCACAGUUUGCGCCGAAUGCACCAUAGUCUAAGAAACCAUUUUGGACGCACUAUUUGGUACUCCUGGGUCAAGAGGCUAGCUUGGUUCGGUCAGUUUGGAGAUAGUGCUAAUCCUUAUGCAAGGUAGGUGCAUGGUUUGCAUGGAACAUAUCAUAUGCUUGGAAAUAAAUUUGGAUGCACCCGAUGGAACUCCUUGAUGACGUGUGUCAUAUGAAAUCUUGCUAUGGUCCAUUUGCAUAUAUUGUUAGUUUUGGUGAAAGUUAGGUGCACAGUUUGCACCUAAUGCACCAUAGUCUAAGAAACCAUUUUGGACGCACUUGUUGGUACUCCUAGGUGAAGGAGCUCAAGUGGAUGCUCGAUUCGGUCUGUUUGGAGAUAGUGCUAAUCUUAAUGCAAGAUAGGUGCACGGUUUGCAAGGAACAUACCAAAUGCUUGGAAAUCAAUCUGGACGCACAUGAUGGAACUCCUAGAUGACGUGUGUCAUAAGAAAUCUUGCUUCGGUCUGUUUGGAGACAGUGUUAGUUUCAGUGCAAUAUAGGUGCAAGGUUUGCACAUAAUGCUACAAGAUGACGUGUGUCAUUCAAAAUCUUGCUUUGGUCUAUUUGGAGACUGUUAGUUUCGGUGCAAGAUAGGUGCAAGGUUUGCACAUAAUGCAGUAUUGGCUAAGAAACCAUUUUGAACGCACCCGAUGGUACUCCUAGGUAAAAGGCUCAAGUGAAAGCUUGGUUUGGUCUAUUUAGAGAUAGUGCUAAUCUUGAUGCAAGAUAGAUGCAUGGUCUAUAUGGAACACACCAUAUGCUUAGAAAUUAAUUUGGACAGACCCGUUAGAACUCUUUGAUGACGUGUGUCAUAUGGAAUCUAGCUAUGGUGUGCUUAGAGACAGUAUUAAUUUCGGUGCAAGAUAUGUGCACGGUUUGCGCCUAAUGCACCUAAGUCUAAGCAACCAUUUUGGAAGCACCUGUUGGUACACCUAGGUGAAGAGGCGCAAGUGGAGGCUCGGUUCGAUCUGUUUAGAGAUAGUGCUAAUCUUGAUGCAAGAUAGGUGCACGAUUUGCAUGGAACAUUCCAUAUGCUCAGAAAUACAUUUGGACGCACCAGAUGGAACUCCUAGAUGACAUGUGUCAUAUGGAAUCUCACUUCGGUCCGUUUAGAGUUAGUGUUAGUUUCGAUGAAAAAUAGGUGCACGGUUUGCACCUAAUGCACCAUUGGAUAAGAAACCAUUUUGGAUGCACCCGAUGGUACUCCUAGGUGAAGGGUCUCAAGUGGAUGCUCAGUUCGAUCCGUUUGGAGAUAGUGCUAAUCUUGACGCAAGAUAGGAGCACGGUUUGCAUGGAACAUACCAAAUGCAUGCAAAUCAAUCUGGACGCACAUGAUGGAACUCCUAGAUGACGUAUGUCAUACGAAAUCUUGCUUCGGUCUGUUUGGAGAUUGUGUUAGUUUCAGUGCAAGAUAGGUGCAAGGUUUGCAUAUAAUGCAGCAUAGUCUAAGAAACCAUUUUGGACGCACCCGAUGGUACUCCUAGGUAAAAGGCUCAAGUGAAAGCUCGGUUUGGUCUAUUUGGAGAUAGUGCUAAUCUUGAUGCAAGAUAGAUGCACGGUCUGCAUGGAACGUACCAUAUGCUUAGAAAUUAAUUUGGACACACCCGAUAUAACUCCUCGAUGACGUGUGUCAUAUGAAAUCUCGCUUUGGCGUGCUUAGAGACAGUAUUAGUUUCGGUACAAGAUAUGUGCACGGUUUGUGCCUAAUGCACCAAAGUCUAAGAAACCAUUUUGGAAGCACCUGUUGGUACUCCUUGGUGAAGAAGCUCAAGUGGAGGCUUGGUUCGGUCUGUUUAGAGAUAGUGCUAAUCAUGAUGCAAGAUAGGUGCACGAUUUGUGUGGAACAUAUCAUAUGCUCAGAAAUACAUUUGGACGCACCAGAUGGAACUCCUAGAUGACAUGUGUCAUAUGGAAUCUCACUUCGGUCCGUUUAGAGAUAGUGUUAGUUUCGAUGAAAAAUAGGUGCACGGUUUGCACCUAAUGCACCAUAGGAUAAGAAACCAUUUUGGAUGCACCAGAUGGUACUCCUAGGUCAUGGGGCUCAAGUGAAAACUCGGUUUGGUCUGUUUGGAGAUAGUGCUAAUCUUGAUGCCUGAUAAAUGCACGGUUUGCAUGGAACAUACGACAUGCUCAGAAAUCAAUUAGGACACACGUGAUAUAACUCCUUGAUGAUGUGUGUCAUAUGGAAUCUUGCUUCAGUUUGUUUAGUGACAAUGUUAGCUUUGGUAGAAGAUAUGUGCACGGUUUACGCACGUGAUAUAACUCCUUGAUGAUGCGUGUCAUAUGGAAUCUUGCUUCGGUUCGUUUAGUGACAAUGUUAACUUUGGUAGAAGAUAUCUGCAUGGUUUACCCCUAAUGUACCAUAGUCUAAGAAACCAUUUUAGACGCACCCGAUGGUACUAUUAGUUGAAGAGGCUCAAGUGGAUGCUCGAUUUGGUCUGUUCCGAUAUAGUGCUAAUCUUGAUGCAAGAUAGUUGCACAGUUUCCAUGGAACGUACCAUAUGUUAAGAAAUCAUUUUUGAUGCACCUAAUGGAACCGAAGUCUAAGAAACAAUUUUGGAAGCACCUAUUGCUACUUCGGUGAAGAGGCUCAAGUGGAAGCUCGGUUUAAUCUGUCUAGAGAUAGUGCUAAUCUUGAUGCAUGAUAGGUGCAUGAUUUGCAAGCAACAUACCAUAUGCUUAGAAAUCAAUUUGGACGCACCCAAUUGAUCUCCUAGAUGACGUGUGUCAUAUGGAAUCUUGCUUCGGUCCGUUUGUAGACAUUGUAAGUUUUAGUGCAAGAUAGGUGCAUAGUUUGCGCCUAAUGCACCAUAGUCUAAGAAACCAUUUUGGAUGAACUAUUUGGUACUCCUAUGUGAAGAGGCUCAAGUGGAAGCUUGGUUCGGUCACUUUGGAGAUAGUGCUAAUCCUUAUGCAAGGUAGGUGCAUGGUUUGAAUGGAACAUACCAUAUGCAUGGAAAUUAAUUUGGAUGCACACGAUGGAACUCCUUGAUGACGUGUGUCAUAUAGAAUCUCACUUCGGUCCAUUUGGAGACAUUGUUAGUUUAGGUGCAAGAUAGGUGCAAAGUUUGCACCUAAUGCUCCAUAGUCUAAGAAACCAUUUUGGAUGCACUUGUUGGUACUCCUAGGUGAAGGGGUUCAAGUGGAUGCUCGGUUCGGUCUGUUUGGAGAUAGUGCUAAUCUUGAUGCAAGAUAGGUGCACGGUUUGCAUGGAACAUACCAAAUGCAUGCAAAUCAAUCUGGACGCACAUGAUGGAACUCCUAGAUGACGUAUGUCAUACGAAAUCUUGCUUCGGUCUGUUUGGAGAUUGUGUUAGUUUCAGUGCAAGAUAGGUGCAAGGUUUGCACAUAAUGCAGCAUAGUCUAAGAAACCAUUUUGGACGCACCCGAUGGUACUCCUAGGUAAAAGGCUCAAGUGAAAGCUCGGUUUGGUCUAUUUGGAGAUAGUGCUAAUCUUGAUGCAAGAUAGAUGCACGGUCUGCAUGGAACGUACCAUAUGCUUAGAAAUUAAUUUGGACACACCCGAUAUAACUCCUCGAUGACGUGUGUCAUAUGAAAUCUCGCUUUGGUGUGCUUAGAGACAGUAUUAGUUUCGGUGCAAGAUAUGUAUGGUUUGUGCCUAAUGCACCAAAGUCUAAGAAACCAUUUUGGAAGCACUUGUUGGUACUCCUUGGUGAAGAAGCUCAAGUGGAGGCUUGGUUCGGUCUGUUUAGAGAUAGUGCUAAUCAUGAUGCAAGAUAGGUGCACGAUUUGCAUGGAACAUACCAUGUAACACUCCUAGUGUUAGCUUGCAUGUUAACAAUGAGCAUUGCAUCAACAUAAGCAUCAUCAUGAUCACUCAUGAGCAUCAUACCAUGAUCACAUGUCAUUUGGUGUAGACACUAGGUGAUUGACUUGCUUGUGUGACUUGCUAUAUGUGAAAGAAAUGUGUGACCAAUGCAUAUAAGUGCACAUUGUAUUUCCAAAUACUCUAAUCAUGUUUGGAAUGUCAUUUUGAACAAAGUUUGUGUUGGAGGUUUCACCCAAAAAUUCCCCUAAGUCAUGGUUAACCCUAGGUUGACCUAUUUGACCCCCCUAAACCUCUUUUUAAAGACCUUUUAUGAAACCAGUGUUAGAGACCUUGCAUGUAAUUGUCAUCUAAAGGAAAGUUGUAGUAAAUUUUAUAAGCUACAAAAGUUGUGUUGAUGACAUUUUAUGAUAAUGCAUGGAACCAGACCAAAAGUGGCCCACAAGCCAAAAACCAGUGUUGUUUCCAACACUUAGUCGAAUUUGGCUGUCUGGAUUCUGCAGUUUCGGGGUAGGGUACUUGGGAGCUUUAUAGUUUGAAAUCCAAGCCGAACCAGACCUUGAUCCUUUAAGCAAUCUUGUAGAACUCAUGUAGUUCUAUCCAAUGAAAUAAAUUCGAGCCAAAACCAUCGAGUGAAUCGAGAGUAAAACGUCGACGAAGAUCGAGUUUCAGUCACUGCGAUCGGGCGUUUCACACAUCGAUUCAGUUUGGACAGUCGCUGUCCGCCGCCGCGUGUCCAGCCACCUGUCGACCGUACGCCACUGAUGGCCCCUCCUGUCAGCAUGGACGUCGUCCACAAGUUGCCACGCACCGCCUGGACGCCUCAGACGCAUCGUCCACUCGCCUAGAUCGCCACAUUUCCCUCCGCCAUCGCCUUGGCGAGCUCCGCCGUACUUCGGCGAGCUCUCCCGGCCGCGCCACCGCAUCUCCUGCCAAGCCAGCCCGCCUAGAGCUCCGCCGCGACGUCCUCUACCUCGACGUCCAUCCCUUUUCCCUAGCCGAGCACUGGCGAGGUCGCAUUGUCAACUCCGUCGCGAGCUCCACCACGCCAGAGUUCGUAGAGAUCACCGGCAACGUGGCCAGACCUCUCUGGUUCACCUCUGGCCGUGAUUCUUCUUCCUACAGCUUCGCCUUGCUUCACUCCUGCUCGUCCGCAACCACUACAGAGUCGCAUUUGCCUAGGUUCACCGGCGUAACGCCACGCAGCGACGCCGCUCCGCCAUUCGCGACGGCGAGCACCCUAGAGUCCAGUAGAGCGUGAGCCAAGUUGGUCAACAGGUUCGCCUUGAAGUGAGGAACACGUAGAUGCCCUCAGUUUCCCCGGAGACCUCACCAUCGUUGAGAACUCCAGCGGUCGCGCUCGUCUCUGCUCCCUGUCUCUCUAUCGCGUGGGUCCCAUCUGUCAGCAGGCCCCACCCGUCAGCCUCUCACUCUCUCCCCUGUGUCCAAUGUUUUUGCAGAUUCUGAGUUGUUUUUGUAAAAAUCAUAACUUGAGCUAGGCAGAUCCAAAUGGAGUGAUUCCAAUUUUUUUAGGUUCUUGAGUUAGUAUAGUUUUUAAUAAAAAUAUAAAACAUGCCAUGUUUUUGCAGAAAUAAAUAGAUAUGAUUUAAUCUUGGUUAAAUAAAAGGUAAUUAUAUCUUGAGAUCUAUGAGUCCUAUGGCCAUGCAAAUUUAGGAGAGUGUUAUUUAUGACAUGAAUAGGCUCUGAUAAAUUUAUCAUGAUUUUUGGAUGACUGUUGGUGAAGUUAUAAAUAUUUCUUGUUCAAAUAGGAGUUUCUUGUGGUAUUUUUAAUAAAUAGAUUAUAACUCCUUUUAUGAUGAAACUUGCUGGGUGAUGUAAUAAUGUGCAAAAAAAGAUAAGAAAAAUCUGAAAUCUGUUGUUUGACACUUUUUGAUAGGGUUUCACAUUUAUGCCUUUAAUGCCAUUGUUAGCUUGUCAUUUUUGUAUCUCACAAUCUGCACGUGCAAGAGCCCUGAAAUUUUUACAGGAACCUUGUGGUAGCCUAAAUAGCUUGCUGUAAUUUUAUUAGAAUUUUUGGAACACUUGUACUACAUGCUCAUUAAUUCACCCUAAUAAUCAAAUAAAUAGAAAAGGGGAUAAUAAAAAUGAUUUUAAACCUUGCCAUGAUGUUUUAUGAUGUUUCUUAGACAUGUUCUAACUACUAGUGUCUUUGGUUGGAACCAAUGUUACAUUCUUGAUAUGUGCUAAAAUAUUAUUUUGCUAAUUAUGCCUUGUCUUGAGCAUAUUCUGUGCAGGUAGUAGAAUUUACUUAAGAACUGCUUGAAGAUGAAGUUUGCUGGAAAACUUGUCUAUAAAAAACUUAUAGCUAACUUACUUAUCUAUCUUGUGUCCAAAUUUCAUGACAUUGGCUGGGUGGUUUAAGAGUUAUGAUUGUUACAAGAAGCUGCUACGAAGUGCUUGCUCUCUGGAUUUUCCAGGACAGCCAGCAAACUUUGCCUGGUUCAGCCUAUUUUGGUUGGGAAUCCUUCUGGGAUGUCUAAAACUGAAUUGUAGACAAUUUGUUAAGCUUUCCAGAAAGUGUCUACUUGCUUGGUUUAGACAAUUGGUGACUAAGUUAUAGCUAAAACUUGUGACUAGUUAAUCUGUCCAUGACACCAGUUGUUGAGUGUGAGUAGCUAAGGUUGAAUAGCUUAUCUAGUUAACCUCUCUACCAGAGAAGAAGUAUGCACUUACUUAUUUAUUCAUGAUUCACUUACUCUUAGAAACUUGUGAUCAUGUUGCACCUUGUUUCAUGUUAUUUUGGCUUAUCAUCAUGACAUCUUGCAUCUUGUGUGCAUUCCCUAUGUUUAUCGCCUUGUCAUGCAUACUUAGGUGCACCCAAGGGUGUGACGGUCCUAGAAUUCGCACCGCCAGAGCCGGAGGAGCAGCAGAUGGAGCCACCUCAAGGAGAAGGAGCUGAGGAGGAGGAUCUACUGGAGUGCCCCUACCAUCGUCCUUCCACCUACGUCGAAGGCAAGCCCUGGAGCACUAUAAGACUCCUACUAUUUUGUUAUCAUGUCCAGCUGUCAAUUAACUAUGGUUAUAUAUUGUUGCAUUAAGUGUUAGGCGUUGAAAUGACACCCUUGCUGCAUAAUGACUACCUUGUCCACCUUAUACCUUACCGAAGUAGGUCCAGGAUCGAAAUGAUGCUUAGCCAUGCUUAGCUCGGUAGAAGCCGGGUGAUUUCCUGUCACCUGCGAGAGAUAGGUGGAUACUUGACACGGAUGGCUAUAUUUGCUAUCGUGGAGAUAACCAGGUGCUAAUAAUGAAUUUGAGACCGGGCUGGAUGAUGAUAGUGCAGCAACAAGGCAUGGAGGUCUUGGGUGCGAAUAUAUCCCCGUCUGUGUCGUUUAAGGACCGAUACGCUGUACGUCCUCGUGUCAUGUUGAACGCAUGCCUAACACUUAGUUGGCCGGAUAAGUCAUUCCGACCAUGAAGCCUAUGAGUGCAUCUCCGGCCGGAUACCCCAAUCUGGUUAAAGUGCACACCCCGGUUGGUAGCAAGGAUGUGUGGGGAGUCAAUGGCGUAAGACCGAGGUGUCAGGUUAGAGUCCUGACCCUGGCAGAUUGGCGGUCCCUGGGGUGCGGCGCUGUACGGACCCGCGACUUGGUCCGGAGUUGUGCUAAAGGUGAUCUGAGCUGCCCUCACGAGGUAUGCUUGGGUGAGUGCUAGGAAUACCCCUCCAGCUGGAUAGGAAUCGAUUCGAAUCGCCGUCUCUCCCAGAUAGUGAGAACAUGACUCGAGCAGCGGCAACGUAGAAUUCACUAAAUAAACUUAAUGGUUAUGAUGAGAAUGAUGAUGGCUAUGUGAUAAUUGGAUAUGGUUAUUAUUGUGAUGCUUAAUACUCAAGUGUAUGCUUAGAUCAGGUGCUAAUCUAGUGGAUAGCUGUUUUAAGUAAUGAACUUGCUGCUGAAAUUGUAAACAUGUGUUACUCAAAAACUAAAGCUUUUAUGCAAAAGGUGAGUCAAACCAGCCCACAAAUGUUAGCCUUGCAUACUCCUUGGUGCCACUUUAUUUCUGGUUUAUGACGGGUAAGUCUAGCUGAGUACCUUCUCGUACUCAGAGUUUUAUUUACCCUUGUUGCAGAUGAUGUCGUGUAUCACGGCUACUGUGCUAACUGUCAUCAUCCGGCUACGGAUGAUGAGUAGAUCUCGGGCAAGAUCACUUCUAUUAUCUUCGGUUGUGCUUUUGUUGGGAUGAUCCUGGAACUGGCAUGUAAUUAAACUGAGUGUGUGUUGUAUCAAAACUACUUUGCUUCUGCUACUGACCUAUGUUGUAAUAACUCUAUUUGAACUCCAAUGUGUUGUAAAACAAUGUUGUGAUUAAUGUUUAUAAUCUGUGAUGGAGAUGCUUGAUCAUGUACGGUCCUGGUUGUAUGUUUGUUGAUCUUUUGAGGUUUUGUCGGACUACCGGGUUUAUAUGGGUUCAAGUCCAUUGGCUUGACUGCUUUCGUGGUCGCUAAUUCACUUGAAUUCUUAUAAACUGGAUGAUUCUAUUACAUACCAUAUGCUCAAAAAUCAAUUUGGACGCACCAGAUGGAACUCUAGAUGACAUGUGUCAUAUGGAAUCUCACUUCGGUCCGUUUAGAGACAGUGUUAGUUUCGGUGCAAGAUAGGUGCACGGUUUGCACCUAAUGAACCAUAGGAUAAGAAACCAUUUUGGACGCACCCGAUGGUACUCCUAGGUCAAGGGGCUCAAGUGAAAGCUCGGUUUGGUCUGUUUGGAGAUAGUGCUAAUCUUGAUGCAAGAUAGAUGCACGGUUUGCAUGGAACAUACGAUAUGCUCAGAAAUCAAUUAGGACACACCUGAUAUAACUCCUUCAUGAUGUGUGUUAUAUGGAAUCUUGCUUCGGUUCGUUUAGAGACAGUGUUAGUUUUGGUAGAAGAUAUGUGCACGGUUUACGCCAAAUGCACCAUAGGCUAAGAAACCAUUUUAGACGCACCCGAUGGUACUCGUAGUUGAAGAGGCUCAAGUGGAGGCUCGAUUUGGUCUGUUCAGAUAUAGUGCUAAUCUUGAUGCAAGAUAGUUGCACAGUUUGCAUGGAACGUACCAAAUGUUAAGAAAUCAAUUUGGACUCACCCAAUGGAACUCCUAGAUGAUGUGUGUCAUAUGGAAUCUCGCUUCGGUCAGUUUGGAGACAAUGUUAGUUUCGGUGCAAAAUAGGUGCAUAGUUUGUGCCUAAUGCACCAUAGUCUAAGAAACCAUUUUGGACACACUAUUUGGUACUCCUGGGUGAAGAGGCUCAAGUGGAAGCUCAGUUCGGCCUGUUUUGAGAUAGUGCUAAUCCUUAAGCAAGGUAGGUGCAUGGUUUGCAUGGAACAUACCAUAUGCUUCGAAAUCAAUUUGGAUGCACCCAAUGAAACUCCUUGAUGACAUGUGUCAUAUGGAAUCUCGCUUCGGUCCAUUUGGAGACAUUGUUAGUUUCGGUGCAAGAUAUGUGCAUAGUUUGCACCUAAUGCACCAUAGUCUAAGAAACCAUUUUGGACGCACUUGUUGGUACUCCUAGGUGAAGGGGCUCAAGUGGAUGCUCGGUUUGGUCUGUUUGGAGAUAGUGCUAAUCUUGAUGCAAGAUAGAUCCACGGUCUGCAUGGAAUGUACCAUAUGCUUAGAAAUUAAUUUGGACACACCCGAUAGAACCCUUGAUGAUGUGUGUCAUAUGGAAUCUCGCUUUGGUGUGCUUAGAGACAUUAUUAGUUUCGGUGCAAGAUAUCUGCAUGGUUUGCGCCUAAUGCACCAAAGUCUAAGAAACCAUUUUUUAGCACAUGUUGGUAAUCCUAGGUGAAGAGGCUCAAGUGGAGGCUCGGCUCGGUCUGUUUAGAGAUAGAGCUAAUUUUGAUGCAAGAUAGGUGCACGAUUUGCAUUGAACAUACCAUAUGCUUGGAAAUCAAUUUGGACGCACCAGAUCGAACUCCUAGAUGACAUGUGUUAUAUGGAAUCUCACUUCGGUCCCUUUAGAGACAGUGUUAGUUUCCAUGCAAGAUAGGUGCACGGUUUGCACCUAAUGCACCAUAGGAUAAGAAACCAUUUUGGACGCACCCGAUGGUACUCCUAGGUCAAGGGGCUUAAGUGAAAGCUUGGUUUGGUCUGUUUGGAGAUAGUGCUUAUGUUGAUGCCAGAUAGAUGCACGGUUUGCAUGGAACAUACGAUAUGCUCAGAAGUCAAUUAGGACGCACCUGAUAUAACUCCUUGAUGAUGUGUCAUGUGGAAUCUUGCUUCGGUUUAUUUAGAGACAGUGUUAGUUUUGGUAGAAGAUAUGUGCAUGUUUUAUGCCUAAUGCACCAUAGGCUAAGAAACCAUAUGCUUAGAAAUCAAUUUUAUUGCACCACAUGGAACUCCUAGAUGACAUGUGUCAUAUGGAAUCUCACUUCUGUUUGUUUAGAGACAGUGUUAGUUUCGGUGCAAGAUAGAUGCACGGUUUGCACCUAACGUGAUGAGGACAUCAACACCAUCGAUAUAUCCGCACCUACACCAGUUGGUCCUCUUACUCAUGCUCGUGCCCGUCAACUCAACCUUCAAGUAAGUUCAGUUUUAAACUCUUGUCAAUCAUAUUUAGACAAUGGAGACACGUGCGCUUUCGUGUUGCUCAGGAAUAAUGGACAAGAUCAGGAAGGGAAGGUUCAACUGCAUUCAGAAUUUGAGGCAACACCAACUUCAAGGGCUGAUUGCAUAUGGGAAGAGUGAUAACUUAACAAAGGUGAUUGGAGAUCAGGUGCAAGCCUCCACAACAUCCUCUAUCAAGUUACCACGUCGCUUCUAAAGCAAGGAAACAAAGAGUCCAAACCCAACACGUUUUGGGAGUUGGAUUCGGACUGGAAAAUAACUCUAACUUGUAUGGAUCACCACGGCGUCAUAUGGACUCCAACUGGGACGUUCCUAUACUUGUUGGAAAGCUCAUGAAGUCUACUUUCCAAUGGGUCCAACCACAUAUCUAUGCAGCUUAUGAGUCGGGCGCAGUCCUUGUUUUUGUGCCGACACCUUUUUCUGUUUUGGUGCUGCGUCACCCUAUUUUGGACCAAUGGCCCAUGUAUCAAGUUAAGUCCAUUAGGGACGCGUCCUAGGGUUGGAGGACGACUCUAUCACCCCUUUGGUCGUCCUCCCCUCUAUUUAUUUACAUCUAGAGCCGCCAUGAACAACUAGGUUUUGAUUAGAUAAAGUUUAGCCUUCGCUACUUGCUUGUAAACGCGCGUGCUGAUCCAGCCGCCCGUCUUCUUGUUUUCGAAACCCCACUUCAUUAGAGAUUGAGUUUGAAACCUUCAUUUACAUCUAAAAAUUUAGUACUUGUUCUACUUGUUCUUGCUGGUUCUACGAUUGCUUGCAGGACGAGUGCCCUAGUGGUCGGGUGUUGCGCUCCACAAGAUCGUGACAGCCAUUGGAGGCGGUGUAUCGGUUGCUAAGGCGCGGCCUUAGAAGGCUGUAGUCGGGCCGUGAACGUCAUCUCCAUUCACUAAUCGAGUUAUCCAGCGCCUCACAUCGAAAGAUCAGGCGAAAACCCUAGUGGGUUCACAUCAUAACGCACCAUAGGAUAAGAAACCAUUUUGGACGCACCCGAUGGUACUCCUAGGUCAAGGGGCUCAAGUGAAAGCUCAGUUUGUUCUUUUUGGAUAUAGUGCUAAUCUUGAUGCAAGAUAGAUGCACGGUUUGCAUUGAACAUACGAUAUGCUCACAAAUCAAUUAGGACACACCUGAUAUAACUCCUUGAUGAUGUGUGUCAUAUGGAAUCUUGCUUCGAUUCGUUUAGAGACAGUGUUAGCUUUGGUAUAAGAUAUGUGCACGGUUUACGCCUAAUGCACCAUAGGCUAAGAAACCAUUUUAGACACACCCGAUGGUACUCGUAGUUGAAGAGGCUCAAGUGGAUGCUCGAUUUGGUCUGUUUGGAUAUAGUGCUAAUCUUGAUGCAACAUAGUUGCACAGUUUGCAUGGAACGUACCAUAUGUUAAGAAAUCAAUUUGGACACACCUAAAGGAACUCCUAGAUGACGUGUGUCAUAAGGAAUCUCGCUUCGGUCUGUUUGGAGACAAUGUUAGUUUUGGUGCAAGAUAGGUGCAUAGUUUGUGCCUAAUGCACCAUAGUCUAAGAAACCAUUUUUGAUGCAACUGUUUGUACUCAUAGAUGAAGAGGCUCAAGUGGAAGCUCGGUUCGGUCUGUUUGGAGAUAGUGCUAAUCUUGAUGCAAGAUAGGUGCACGGUUUGCAUGGAACAUACCAUAUGCUUGGAAAUCAAUUUCAAUGCACCCGAUGGAACUCCUUGAUGACCUGUGUCAUACGGAAUCUCGCUUUGGUCUGUUUAGAAACAGUGUUAGUUUCGGUGCAAGAUAUGUGCUUGGUUUGCGGCUAAUGCACCAAAGUUUAUGAAACCAUUUUGGAAGCACCAGUUGGUAGUUCGGUGAAGAGGCUCAAGUGGAAGCUCGGUUUGAUCUGUUUGGAGAUAGUGCUAAACUUGAUGCAAGAUAGAUGCACGGUCUGCAUGGAACAUACCAUAUGCUUAGAAAUUAAUUUGGACACAAACAAUAGAACUCCUUGAUGACGUGUGUCAUAUGGAAUCUUGCUUCGGUUCGUUUGUAGAUAUUGUAAAUUUUAGUGCAAGAUAGGUGCACAGUUUGCGCCUAAUGCACCACAGUCUAAGAAACCAUUUUGGAUGCACUGUUUGGUACUCCUUGGUGAAGAGGCUCAAGUGGAAGCUUGGUUCGGUCAGUUUGGAGAUAGUGCUAAUCCUUAUGCAAGGUAGGUGCAUGGUUUGCAUGGAACAUACCAUAUGCUUGGAAAUCAAUUUCGAUGCACCCGAUGGAACUCCUUGAUGACGUGUGUCAUAUGGAAUCUAUCUUCGGUCCAUUUGAGACAUUGUUAGUUUCGGUGCAAGAUAGGUGCACUGUUUGCACCUAUUGCACCAUAGUCUAAGAAACCAUUUUGGACGCACUUGUUGGUACUCCUAGGUGAAGGGGCUCAAGUGGAUGCUCGGUUUGGUCUGUUUGGAGAUAGUGCUAAUCUUGACGCAAGGUAGGUGCAUGGAACAUACCAUAUGUUUGGAAAUCAAUUUGGAUGCACCCGUUGGAACUCCUUGAUGAUGUGUAUCAUAUGGAAUCUCUCUUUGGUCUGUUUAGAAACAGUGUUAGUUUCAGUGCAAGAUAUGUGCAUGAUUUGCGCCUAAUGCACCAUAGUCUAAGAAACCAUUUUGGAAGCACCUGUUGGUACUUCGGUGAAGAGGCUCAAGUGGAAGCUCGGUUUGAUCUGUUUAGAGAUAGUGCUAAUCUUGAUGCAAGAUAGAUGCACGGUCUGCAUGGAACGUACCAUAUGCUUAGAAAUUAAUUUGGACACACCCGAUAGAACUCGUUGAUGACGUGUGUCAUAUGGAAUCUCGCUUUGGUGUGCUUAGAGAUAGUAUUAGUUUCGGUGCAAGAUAUGUGCACGGUUUGCACCUAAUGCACCAAAGUCUAAAAAAACAUUUUGGAAGCAACUAUUGGUACUCCUAGGUGAAGAGGCUCAAGUGGAGGCUCUGUUCGGUCUGUUUAGAGAUAAUGCUAAUGUUGAUGGCUCAAGUGGAAGCUCGGUUUGAUCUGUUUGGAGAUAGCGCUAAUCUUGAUGCAAGAUAGAUGCACGGUCUGCAUGGAACGUACCAUAUGCUUAGAAAUUAAUUUGGACACACCCGAUAGAACUCCUUGAUGACGUGUGUCAUAGGGAAUCUCGCUUUGGUGUGCUUAGAGAUUGUCAGCAUCCCCCAUCCUGGGGACCCUCCAGAGUCUCCAAGGCCCAGAAGAGGGAUGCGGACAAGGCAACCAAGCAGCAGGACAGCUGGGCCGGAGUGGGCCUGUUCGGCCUGUUCAGCAAAAGCUACGAGCGUGAGAGAUAAGUUGGGAAGAGGGGAAAAGAGAGAGACAUGAAUAUUGUAUCUAAACCCUGAACCCUUAAGCACUCUUCCUCCGUGCGGCGCGAUGCCGGCGGCGGCCCUCUUCCUCUCCCUCUUCCUCCAGUAGAAGUAGGAGAUCCGCCAGAUCCUCACCGCAGUGAGUGAGGGUCUAACACUGGUAUCAAAGCCUUCGGCCUGCGACCUCGCGCUGGAUCUCGCCGCCGGCCACCCGCACUUCACCAGGCUGCAACGUGCGCGCGGGGCGAUGGAUCCUGCCGUCAAGACGGCGUUCGAGGAGUUGAUCCGGAGGUUCGACUCCUUCGACGCCAAGUGGGAAGCCAAGUUCGCAGAUGCGGAGACCUUGCGAAGGGAGCGCGAAGAUGAAGCAAAUCGGCGCCUCGCCGCGCUGGAGUCUCUCUCCAGUUCGGUGCCGGGGGCGGCGAUUCGCUUGACCGCUCUGGAGGACUACUGCGUUGCUAACUCCGAGGCCGCAGUGGCCGCAGAGGAGUGGAAUCGCGGGAUCUCCAACCGCGUCGGCUAGCUCGAGGAGAAGAUGGAUGAUCUGGAGCUCAUCCGGUUCUCGGAGAUGCGGGAUGAGCGGGACGACCGUGUGGCGACGUUGGAGGACGCGGCCGCGGUCUUCGACGAGUGGCGUCUGUGGGUGGAGGCCUCCAUCUUCGACGUGCGCAGGGACAUCAAGCUCCUGUCCAGGAGGGAAGAUCCGCCCACGAACGAGAGGCAUUCCGGCUGUCCCGACUUCGCCCACGACCUCGAGUUGGCCUCCGCGCGCCCAUCUGCCGGAGCAAUGGCCGACUGGCCCAGCGGGCACCGCGAGCAGGGCUAUGGGUCGGUCACGACCCUCGCCCACCCACACCUCCACGGUAUGUGUGAUCGUCCUCUUCCUCCCCCUUCGUUUCCUCGAUUGAACCCAAUUCCCCACCCUGCCCCAAAUCCAGUAGCCCAAUUUCCUUUCCAGCAACCUCCAAUCCCUCCCGACCCUCCCAAUCACCUGUACCACCAGUUCUACCAGCCUAUAAACCCACAGCCCCCAACUUCCCAUCCAGUUUUCCCUACCCAGGCUGCUCAGCCUUCUAACCACAUAUCCACUAUCGCCAUCCCAAACCACUCAUCCCCUGUCACAUUUCCAACCUUCAAUUCCGCUCAAUUGGGACGUUUGCCUAAACUGGAUUUUCCCAAAUUUGACGGCGAGCAUGCCCAGUUUUGGAUUACCUGUGCUGUUAACUACUUCGAGAUGUAUGCCGUUGAGCGUCCCAUGUGGAUUCGAGUCGCCACAAUGCAUUUCACUAGCGCAGCCAAGCGUUGGCUUCAAUCCAUUGAACACCUUCUUUCAUCCCUCGACUGGUCGUCCUUCUGUUCGUUGCUGCACGAACGUUUCAGUCGUGAUCAGCAUGAGUUACUGCUCCGUCAACUUUUCAAUAUUCGUCAGACCGGCUCUGUGUCUGAUUACAUUGACAAAUUCACUGAACUCAUUGACCAACUCAAAUCCUACAACCCCAACCCAGAUCUCCUAGCCUACACCACUCGGUUCGUCGAUGGGUUACGUGAGGAUAUCCGCGCUGUUACUCUUGUUGCUCGUCCUACAACCCUGGAUGCUGCGUAUACUCUUGCAUCUUUGCAUGAAGAAGCCGGAGGCCCUUAUCGGACAAGGGACAGGCGGGCGGAUUAUUCUUCCAUGCCCAAGGCAUCCAGUAGCCGUGGCACUGGGGGCGGGUAUUCACCCUAGGGCCGGCUGCCUGACGACAAGCUGCCGGUGUCCAAACCAUCAUCUACUGAUGACAAGGUCUCUUCACUCAAGAGUUAUCGACGUGCCCGCGGAUUGUGUAUCCGUUGUGGAGACAAAUGGGUACCAGGGCACAAAUGUGCAUCUCAGCCUCAAUUGGACGCCUUGCAAGAAGUCUGGGAAUUGUUUCAGGAUUCCUUCCUGGAUGACGAUGUUGAGUCUCCUUCCGAAGACCAGGUCAAUGAGAUCGAUUCUCCAGCUCAGCUGUUUUUCACCUGUGCGGCUGCUAACUCCCAAGGGCCGUCUCUUCAGACUAUGCAGUUCAGUGGGUCAGUAAUGGGGCAGUCUGUCAGCAUUUUGGUCGACUCAGGCAGUUCUCAUUCGUUCAUCAGUCCUGCCGUCGCCUCCCUGUUACCCGGACACCGCUCUUUACCACAUCCUGUCGCCGUCAGGGUAGCCAACGGUGCGGUCCUUCAUUGUGCCACUGAAGUCCCUGAUGUCGAAUGGUCCGUUCAGAAUCUCUCGUUUCACUCAACCUUCAGGGUUCUUCCUCUAGGGUCCUAUGAUGUCAUCUUGGGCAUGGACUGGCUUGCAGCUUUUUCGCCCAUGAAGAUCAAUUGGCGCAGCAAGUGGAUGUCAAUUGCAUAUGGUUCUCGCUCAGUGCUGUUGCAUGGUAUGGGAGCAGACACUGAUGAUUGCUCGGUUGUGCAGCUGUUCAGCAUCUCUUCUGCAGCAGAGGUGGCGCCACCCACGCCGAUUCAUCCCAAGGUCCAAUCUUUACUUGACGAGUUCAGUCAGCUGUUUGCAGAGCCGUCUUCCCUGCCUCCCAGACGCGAUUGUGAUCACUCUAUCCCACUGGUGGCUGGAGCUCAGCCGGUUUGCAUCCGACAGUACCGUUACUCUCCGAAACUGAAGUCUGAGAUCGAGAACCAAGUGUCUGAAUUGCUGCGUACUGGGAUGAUACGCCCUAGUCGCAGCCCAUUCUCUUCCCCAGUCCUUCUUGUCAAGAAAAAGGAUCAGACAUGGCGCAUGUGCGUGGAUUACAGAAUGCUCAACGCCCUGACUGUUAAAAGCAAGUUUCCGAUUCCUGUCAUUGAUGAACUGUUGGACGAGCUCGCUCAUGCCCGCUGGCUUUCAUGUUUGGAUCUUCGCGCUGGCUUUAAUCAGAUCCGCAUGGCCCCGGGCGAGGAAUAUAAAACAACAUUUCAGACUCAUUGGGGGCACUUUGAAUACAAUGUCAUGUCCUUUGGCCUCACCGGUGCACCAAACUUGUUUCAGAGCGCCAUGAAUGCAACAUUGAAGCCUCUCCUGCGUGUCUGUGUGAUAGUAUUCUUUGAUGACAUUUUGGUUUACAGCACCUCCUGGGAGCAACAUCUCGUUCACCUUCGCCAGGUGUUUGAACUUCUACAAAAAGAUCAGUGGCUAGUCAAGUUAAGCAAAUGUCGUUUUGCUCAGGAAUCCAUUGCUUAUCUGGGACAUGUUGUCAGUGCAGCAGGGGUCAGCACUGAUCCCUCAAAGUUGGACUCUAUUCGUUCAUGGCCUCUUCCUGCUGAUGUCAAGCAGCUUCGCAGCUUCCUCGGUCUUGCGGGGUAUUACCGAAAAUUUGUUCAGCACUUCGCUAUCAUUGCUCGCCCCUUGUAUGAUCUGCUCAAGAAGGGUGUAAUUUUUUGUUGGACCGAGGUUCAUUCCACGGCUUUCGCCACCUUGAAGGAUGCUCUCAUGUCAGCACCGGUGCUCAGCUUACCUGAUUUCAACAAGCCUUUUCAGCUUCAGACAGAUGCCAGCGACUCAGGUGUAGGCGCAGUUCUCAUGCAGGACGGUCACCCAUUGGCGUUCGUGAGCAAGUCCCUGGGUCCGCGAACCAGAGGAUUGUCCACCUAUGAUAAAGAGUACUUAGCUAUUAUAGUAGCAGUGGAUCAGUGGCGAUCUUACCUCCAACAUAAUGAGUUUGUCAUUUUCACCGACCAACGCAGCCUCAUACAUGUGACUGAACAACGCCUUCACACCCCUUGGCAACUCAAGAUGUACACUAGGUUGGCGGGGCUGCAGUACCGAGUACUCUAUAAACCUGGGAUCUCCAACAGAGCAGCAGACGCUCUUUCUCGCCACCCUGAUGCUCCUUCACAGUUACAGGCCAUCUCUUCGGUCACGCCUUCAUGGUUGGCAGAGGUGGUGGCUGGGUACAAAAGUGACGCUGCCACAACAAAAAUCCUACAGCAGCUGUCCACCAGUCCGGAUGGCAUGCCGCCUUAGUCUCUUUCUGGUGGGGUCAUUCGCUACAAAGGAAGGAUUUGGUUGGGAAACAACAAACAGAUUCAACUCAGGGUCAUGUCGGCUCUUCACAACAGUGCCUUGGGGGGACAUUCUGGUUUUCCAGUAACUCUGAGCAGGAUCAAACAACACUUCGCCUAGCGAGGAAUGAAGGCUGAUGUCCAUAGUUAUGUGUCGUCCUGCUCCACUUGUCUCCAGGCCAAACCCGACAGGGCAAAAUACCCAGGCUUGUUGUCUCCUCUGCCAGUGCCGACUUCCUCUUGGCAAGUUAUCAGUAUGGACUUCAUUGAUGGGCUUCCUACUUCAGGUCAGGCCAACUGUAUCAUGGUGGUUGUGGACAAAUUUAGCAAAUACGCUCACUUCAUUCCACUCCGUCAUCCUUACUCCGCUGCCAAAGUGGCACAGGAAUUCCUGGAUUCUGUGUUUAAGUUGCAUGGCAUGCCCACCCAUAUCAUCUCGGACAGGGAUCCUGUGUUCACAAGCUCCUUCUAGAAAGAGCUAUUUAGACUCGCUCAGGUACAGUUAUGCCUCAGCUCUGCAUACCACCCACAGUCUGAUGGUCAGACGGAACGUGUGAAUCAGUGCCUCGAGACAUAUCUUCGCUGUUUCGUUCACUCUUGCCCAAAACAGUGGCUCAAAUGGAUUUCUCUAGCCGAGUAUUGGUACAACACCUGCAAGCAUUCUGCACUAGGCCGCUCUCCAUUUGAGGUACUCUACGGUCACACCCCUAAGCAUUUUGGUAUUACUGACGAAGUUGUUUCUCCUGUGCCGGAUGUGGCUUCUAUGGUGGCGGAGCGCCAGACCAUGCUGGCUGCAGUUCGACAGCAUCUCCUGCGUGCCCAGCAACGAAUGAAGAGUCAGGCGGAUAAGAACCGCUCAGAUCGGCAAUUCAGUAUUGGGGACAGUGUUUAUCUUCGGCUGCAGCCAUACGUUCAGUCGUCCCUGGCCCCUCGGUCUCAUCACAAACUGUGUUUCAAGUACUUCGGGCCUUUCAAGAUUGUUGAUAAAAUCGGGACCGUCGCCUACAAGCUGGACCUCCCACCAUCUUCUUCCAUACAUCCGGUAUUUCACGUGUCCCUGCUUAAACCUACUCCUCCGAAUACUGCUGUCUGUUCCCAGUUGCCAGACACCGAUGAUGUUCUUCAAGUCCCCGAGAAGAUACUGCAACGUCGUCUGCACCCUAGCGGCAACCGCACGCUGCACCAGGUGCUCGUCAAGUGGACUGGCUUUGAUGAUGCGCUGGCGACAUGGGAGGACGAGGAAGCUCUCAGGCAGCGCUUCCUGAAGGCGCCGACUUGGGGACAAGCCGUUUCCCAGGGAGGGGGGGUUGUCAGCAUCCCCCAUCCUGGGGACCCUCCAGAGUCUCCAAGGCCCAGAAGAGGGAUGCGGACAAGGCAACCAAGCAGCAGGACAGCUGGGCCGGAGUGGGCCUGUUCGGCCUGUUCAGCAAAAGCUACAAGCGUGAGAGAUAAGUAGGGAAGAGGAGAAAAGAGAGAGACAUGAAGGUUGUAUCUAAACCCUGAACCCUUAAGCACUCUUCCUCCGUGCGGCGCGAUACCGGCGGCGGCCCUCUUCCUCUCCCUCUUCCUCCAGUAGAAGUAGGAGAUCCGCCAGAUCCUCACCGCAGCGAGUGAGGGUCUAACAGAGAUAGUAUUAGUUUCGGUGCAAGAUAUGUGCAUGGUUUGCGCCUAAUGCACCAAAGUCUAAAAAACCAUUUUGGAAGCACCUGUUGGUACUCCUAGGUGAAGAGGCUCAAGUGGAGGCUCUGUUCGGUCUGUUUAGAGAUAAUGCUAAUGUUGAUGCAAGAUAGGUGCACGAUUUGCAUGGAACAUACCAUAUGCUCAGAAAUCUAUUUGGAUGCACCAGAUGGAACUCCUAGAUGACAUGUGUCAUAAGGAAUCUCACUUCGGUCCGUUUAGAGACUGUGUUAGUUUCGGUGCAAGAUAGGUGCACGGUUUGCACCUAAUGCACCAUAGGAUAAGAAACCAUUUUGGACGCACCCCGAUGGUACUCCUAGGUCAAGGGGCUCAAGUGAAAGCUCGGUUUGGUCUGUUUGGAUAUAGUGCUAAUCUUGAUGCAAGAUAGAUGCAUGGUUUGCAUGGAACAUACGAUAUGCUCAGAAAUCAAUUAGGACACACCUGAUAUAACUCCUUGAUGAUGUGUGUCAUAUGGAAUCUUGCUUCGAUUCGUUUAGAGAUAGUGUUAGCUUUGGUAUAAGAUAUGUGCACGGUUUACACCUAAUGCACCAUAGGCUAAGAAACCAUUUUAGACACACCCGAUGGUACUCGUAGUUGAAGAGGCUCAAGUGGAGGCUCUAUUUUGUCUGUUCGGAUAUAGUGCUAAUCUUGAUGCACCAUAGUUGCACAGUUUGCAUGGAACGUACCAUAUGUUAAGAAAUCAAUUUGGACACACCUAAAGGAACUCCUAGAUGACGUGUGCCAUAUGGAAUCUCGUUUUGGUCUGUUUGGAGAAAUUGUUAGUUUUGGUGCAAGAUAGGUGCAUAGUUUGUGCCUAAUGCCCCAUAGUCUAAGAAACCAUUUUUGAUGCAACUGUUUGUACUCCUAGAUGAAGAGGCUCAAGUGGAAGCUCGGUUCGGUCUGUUUAGAGAUAGUGCUAAUCUGAAUGCAAGAUAGGUGCACGGUUUGCAUGGAACAUACCAUAUGCUUGGAAAUCAAUUUGUAUGCACCCGAUGGAACUCCUUGAUGACCUGUGUCAUAUGGAAUCUCGAUUUGGUCUGUUUAGAAACAGUGUUAGUUUCGGUGCAAGAUAUGUGCAUGGUUUGUGGCUAAUGCACCAUAUUUUAAGAAACCAUUUUGGAAGCACCAGUUGGUAGUUCGGUGAAGAGGCUCAAGUGGAAGCUCGGUUUGAUCUGUUUGGAGAUAGUGCUAAACUUGAUGCAAGAUAGAUGCACGGUCUGCAUGGAACAUACCAUAUGCUUAGAAAUUAAUUUGGACACAACCAAUAGAACUCCUUGAUGACGUGUGUCAUAUGGAAUCUUGCUUCGGUUCGUUUGUAGACAUUGUAAGUUUUAGUACAAGAUAGGUGCAUAGUUUGCGCCUAAUGCACCAUAGUCUAAGAAACCAUUUUGGACGCACUGUUUGGUACUCCUUGGUGAAGAGGCUCAAGUGGAAGCUUGGUUCGGUCAGUUUGGAGAUAGUGCUAAUCCUUAUGCAAGGUAGGUGCAUGGUUUGCAUGGAACAUACCAUAUGCUUGGAAAUCAAUUUUGAUGCACCCGAUGGAACUCCUUGAUGACGUGUGUCAUAUGGAAUCUCGCUUCGGUCCAUUUGAGACAUUGUUAGUUUCGGUGCAAGAUAGGUGCACAGUUUGCACCUAAUGCACCAUAGUCUAAGAAACCAUUUUGGACGCACUUGUUGGUACUCCUAGUUGAAGGGGCUCAAGUGGAUGCUCGGUUCGGUAUGUUUGGAGAUAGUGCUCAUCUUGAUGCAAGGUAGGUGCAUGGAACAUACCAUAUGCUUGGAAAUCAAUUUGGAUGCACCCGAUGGAACUCCUUGAUAAUGUGUAUCAUAUGGAAUCUCUCUUUGGUCUGUUUAGAAACAGUGUUAGUUUCGGUGCAAGGUAUGUGCAUGAUUUGCGCCUAAUGCACCAUAGUCUAAGAAACCAUUUUAGACACACCCGAUGGUACUCGUAGUUGAAGAGGCUCAAGUGGAAGCUCGGUUUGAACUAUUUGGAGAUAGUGCUAAUCUUGAUGCAAGAUAGAUGCACGGUCUGCAUGGAACGUACCAUAUGCUUAGAAAUUAAUUUGGACACACCCGAUAGAACUCCUUGAUGACGUGUGUCAUAUGGAAUCUCGCUUUGGUGUGCUUAGAGAUAGUAUUAGUUUCGGUGCAAGAUAUGUGCACGGUUUGCGCCUAAUGCACCAAAGUCUAAAAAACCAUUUUGGAAGCACCUGUUGGUACUCCUAGGUGAAGAGGCUCAAGUGGAGGCUCUGUUCGGUCUGUUUAGAGAUAAUGCUAAUGUUGAUGCAAGAUAGGUGCACGAUUUGCAUGGAACAUACCAUAUGCUCAGAAAUCUAUUUGGAUGCACCAGAUGGAACUCCUAGAUGACAUGUGUCAUAAGGAAUCUCACUUUGGUCCGUUUAGAGACUGUGUUAGUUUCGGUGCAAGAUAGGUGCACGGUUUGCACCUAAUGCACCAUAGGAUAAGAAACCAUUUUGGACGCACCCCGAUGGUACUCCUAGGUCAAGGGGCUCAAGUGAAAGCUCGGUUUGGUCUGUUUGGAUAUAGUGCUAAUCUUGAUGCAAGAUAGAUGCACGGUUUGCAUGGAACAUACGAUAUGCUCAGAAAUCAAUUAGGACACACCUGAUAUAACUCCUUGAUGAUGUGUGUCAUAUGGAAUCUUGCUUCGAUUCGUUUAGAGAUAGUGUUAGCUUUGGUAUAAGAUAUGUGCACGGUUUACGCCUAAUGCACCAUAGGCUAAGAAUCCAUUUUAGACACAACCGAUGGUACUCGUAGUUGAAGAGGCUCAGAGGCUCGAUUUGGUCUGUUCGGAUAUAGUGCUAAUCUUGAUGCAACAUAGUUGCAUAGUUUGCAUGGAACGUACCAUAUGUUAAGAAAUCAAUUUGGACACACCUAAAGGAACUCCUAGAUGACGUAUGUCAUAUGGAAUCUCGCUUUGGUCUAUUUGGAGACAAUGCUAGUUUUGGUGCAAUAUAGGUGCAUAGUUUGUGCCUAAUGUACCAUAGUCUAAGAAACCAUUUUUGAUGCAACUGUUUGUACUCCUAGAUGAAGAGGCUCAAGUGGAAGCUCGGUUCGGUCUGUUUGGAGAUAGUGCUAAUCUUGACGCAAGAUAGGUGCACGGUUUGCAUGGAACAUACCAUAUGCUUGGAAAUCAAUUGGUAUGCACCCGAUGGAACUCCUUGAUAACCUGUGUCAUAUGGAAUCUCGAUUUGGUCUGUUUAGAAACAGUGUUAGUUUCGGUGCAAGAUAUGUGCAUGAUUUGCGCCUAAUGCACCAUAGUCUAAGAAACCAUUUUGGAAGCACCGUUGGUACUUCGGUGAAGAGGCUCAAGUGGAAGCUCGGUUUGAUCUGUUUGGAGAUAGUGCUAAAUUUGAUGCAAGAUAGAUGCACGGUCUGCAUGGAACAUACCAUAAGAUUAGAAAUUAAUUUGGACACAAACAAUAGAACUUCUUGAUGACGUGUGUCAUAUGGAAUCUUGAUUCGGUUCGUUUGUAGACAUUGUAAGUUUUAGUGCAAGAUAGAUGUACAGUUUGCGCCUAAUGCACCAUAGUCUAAGAAACCAUUUUGGACGCACUGUUUGGUACUCCUUGGUGAAGAGGCUCAAGUGGAAGCUUGGUUCGGUCAGUUUGGAGAUAGUGCUAAUUGUAACACCCCAGUGUUAUGGUUGCAUCAAUCACAUGCAUAACAUGAGCAUUAUCAUCUACUCAGGCAUAGCAUGAUCAUCAUCUACCUUGAGCCAUGUCAUUUUAUGCAUAAGUGUGCUUUAACUUGUUUAAUCAUGUUUCCUAUGCUUGUGUUGGUGUGUACCAUGCUUAUAUGUGUGUACUAUGUCUUGGUAAUUAGCUUAUCUAUGCUUAACUCAACCUUAGGAACAAUGUUCAUGUUGAUCACUUCUCCAAAAUAAUUACUUAAGUCAUACUUAAAGUAUAGGCCCUAGAAACCUCUUUUGCUUAGGCUUUUAAAAAGUGUUUCAUAAAAUGUUUGCAUGUUAAAACUAUCUACAGCAAAGUUGUAGCAAAUUUUAUAAGGAACAAAAGUUGUUUUAUGGCCAUCUCAUGAAAAUGAUCACAACUAGCUCAAAAGUGACCCAAAAGGCAGAUUUGGGGCUGUUUCCAACACUUAGAAAAAUUUUCUAAGUUUGGGGACGCUGCAGUUUGCUUGAUUGAUUUUGAAAACUUCAUAUCUUUAAAACCAGGCCGAUCUAGCUCUUGCUCCAGUUGACAAUGUUGUAGAACUCAGCUAGUACUCCAACUUUGUCAACUACACCAUCUCCUAAUUCGUUUUGGUUUGGGAGAUAAUCGUUGUCAAAGUAGCUCUAUCAGUCGGUCAUCGUUUUGUUUGAAUCAGACUCGAGCUCGCCGUCGUGGUCACCCGGCACGACACCUGUCUGCCAUUUGUCGCCCGUACGCCGGUGUUGGCCCCGCCCGUUAGGCCGUCGGCAUCGUCAUGGAUGCCACGACACACCGCACUCACUCAGCACCCGUCCAUUCUCUCCCUGUCCCUCUCUCGCGCUCCGCCUGGCGAAAACGCCGUCGCCAUUGCCGCCGUGAGCUUCGCGAGCUCCUCGCGCCCUCGCCUCUGCGUUUCGCCUCGCCUCCGAGCGUCUCUGAGCCCGCCUCGAGCUCCUCCAUCUCCUUCGCCUCUCGGCUGGACGAGAUCUUCCCUAGGUGAGCGACAUUUCGCGAGUUCGUCGUCGUCGGGUUUGCGGCUGUCGCGACACCGAUUCCGACGAAACUCGCCGCUGCUCCGUUCUCGCCUCCUUUCUUCCUUCUGAGUCGCGUUAAGGUUUGCUUAGGUCUUGGCGUCGGUUCACGCCAUGCCAUUCUAGCUGAAACACCACCGUCGUGCGGGAACACGGCCGCCGCACCGCCGUGCUCACCGCCGACGAGCACCUCGCACGUGAGCAGACUCACCGGAGUCAUUAGGGUUAGGCGUUUCUACCUAGAAAGCUCCGCGCUAGCUCACUGAUGCUUAAGCCGCCCUUCCCCGACGCUCUACCGGUCGGAGGUGGCCGGCGUAAGCCGGGGUAGCUCCGCCGUGCCGCCAUGGCCGACGGCGACCCCUCUCCGUCACUAGAACCCUAGCGCAACCUACCUCCAUCGAUGCGGAAUCACUCCAGGAUCACGCUGGUGCCCUUGGAUCCGCCGGAGAAGCUCACCGUCGGCGAGCAUUCGCCGGUGAAGGCGUCCUCUGUUCUCUGGGUCGCUGACGCGCGGGACCCGCUGUCAGCGACUCAACGGUCUUCUCCUUUCUUUUAUUCAAAUCCAGAUUUUUGGCUUUCUUGCAAAAAUCAUAUCUCCUAUUUCUGAGAUCCAAAAAUUGUGAAACCAAUUUGUGAGAUUCCUUGAGAUGGCUAUUGUUUUGUAAAAAUAUAAAAUGAACCAUAUUUUCUAGGAAAAAUAUUUAUUAGGAUUUAAUCUUGUUAUUUAUGAGUGAAUUCAUAUCUCUUAUUAUACUGCUCAUCUGGCUAUGAAAUUUUUAUGGUAGUCUCUGAGUGGUAUGAGAAUGCUACGAUAAAUAUUUCAUGAUUUUUGGAGUACUACAUCUGUGAUAUGUAAUUUAUGAUUGAGAUAUGGCUUGUUUUCUUAAUUAAAUCAUAGUAAAUAAUUGAUGCUUAUGCUGGUGCUCUACUUUGGUGUCACACUUCUUUAUGGUAAUAGUAGUAUGUAAAUAAUCUGAAAUCUGUUGUUUGACACUAAAUAAGCCAUGUUUCUGAAUUUAUGAAAUAAACACCUUGUCACAUGUUAAAUGCUUAUCUCAAUUUUGGCAUGUGCUUGCUCUGAAAAUUUUAUGGUAAGGUAUAGAUGCUAUGCUUGUGCUUCUGUAAUUUUUGUAGAUUUUUCUGAGCACCUUUGCUGGUAUCUUGUAAUAACGCUCUUUUAUAGAAUUAAAUUGAUAAAUGCUUUAUUAGUUAAUAUCUAGGGGUUAACAAAUGAUGUUCUGGUUGUCUUAUGAUAUGCUUGUGCUUGUAAGCCAUUUGGCUGGUACUAGAUAUGUUUUGGUUAUGUCAUCAAAUAAUUAAUUAGAGGGUUAAGAGCUGCCCUGGACAGCAAGGGGGUAAUCUAACCUUUACAUGUUGAUAACUUGGUUUGCUGGAAGACUUGUCUAAAUCAAAGUUGUUGUAAACUGUAUAAUCUAGCUGUGGUUUAAUUUUGGGAUCAUUUUGUUCAAUAAUUUGAAAGAUAUAGCUUAUCCAAGUUGGGUUCCAGAAAUAGGUGCUUUCUGUUUUUCUGGGACAGAACCUGGAACUUUGUUUAUAUGACUUGUUUAACUUAUGAAUCUUGCUGUGAUGUUUAAAUAUGAGUUGUAGACAAUUUCAUAAGCUUUCUAGAAUGUCCUCAUUUAUGUUUGUUGGAUCCUUAUAGCAAUAGUUAUGAAUUGUUUACUGAGCUUUUCUAUUAUAAUGCUUGCUGUUUUAGGUUGACUUGGUAGGUUUUUGCUAAGUUAACUAAUUACCUUGUGUAGACUUGUUAUAACGAUUACUCCAUAAAUGAGUGUCCAGUGAGUCUAAUUAGGUUAUCAAGCAUUCAUCCUCGUCCAGCAUGCACCCAUUCUUACUUAAUCAUGCAUGCAAUAGGUGCACCGGACGCGACAGUUUUGUUCGAGCUCCAAGCGAACCCCGAAGGCCAGGAGGGCAACCCGGAGGUGGAGGUCCAGCAAGCCGGACCCGAGGAGCCCGAAGAAGAGGUUGAGUGCCCUAACCACGAGCCAGCUUCGUUCGUGAAAGGCAAGCUCCGGAGCAUCUUAAGUCUCCCACUUUAAUUUCGAAAGCUUACUUGGCUAUGUUAUACUUAUUGAUGCAUUUACUUAUAGGAGUUGUGAUGAAACCCUUGCUGCAUGUUACUCAAUCCUUGUCGAGAUAUCUUACCACUACCUGGUUAUAGAGUUAGGAUCGAGUAGCAGCUUAGUCAUGCUUUAAUCGGUAGAAGUCUGGUGAUAUCCUGUCACCUGCGCGAGAUAGGGUUGAGUCGGAUCACGAUUGUCUAUAUGUGCUAUCGUGGAAAGAACCUGAUUAAAUUGACAUAAGCCGGGCGGAGUUUUGCAAGGUUGUAGUAACUCCGUCUGUGGCAGCUAAGGACCGACCGUUGUACGUCCUCUUGUCAUGUUGAACGCAUGCCUAACACUUAGUUGGCCGGAUAACUCGUUCAGACCGCGAAGCCUAGUAGUAUGACUCAGGCCGGAAGACUGGCAAGUAUAAAGUGCGCACUACCGGAGGAAGUGCGGUGUGCGGGGGACCAUUGGCGUAAGACCAAAGGCAGGUGAGUAAAAAUUCUGACUUCCCUGGCAGAGUGGUAGCCCUGGGAGUGCGGCGCUGAUCGGAGCCGCGAUUCCUGAGUCGUACCAAAGGAGACCCGUUGGCUCUCCGACGGGGGAUGCUUGGGUGAGUGCUAGGAAUAACCCUCCAGCUGGAUAGGAAUUGAUUCGAAUCGCCGUCUCUCCCGGAUAGUGAGAACUUGACAGAGCAGUGGCAAAUGUAGCAUUCACUAAAGGACAAUGGUUCAUAAUAAUGAUGAUAGCAAGGAAGAGCAUAUGAUGAACUUGAUAUGGUUAUUAUUGCUUGUAAUAAUCAAGUGAUGUGUUUAGUACAGGUGCUAACUAGUGAUAGGCUAAUAAUGAUUAAUAUGAUGCUUUUACAAUAAUAUAGCUAUCAGUUAAGCUUUUGGCAAUUGUUAAGUCAAACUAGCUCCACUAUGUACUUAGCCUUGCAUGAUCCUUGGUGUCUUUUAUGUUUUACUAGACGGGUAAGUCUAGCUGAGUACAUCCUCGUACUCAAGGUUUAUUCCCACCUGUUGCGAUGAUAUCUUUUAUGAUGGCUUCUGCAAGACCUGUCUCCAUCCCUCUGGGGAUGAGGACUAAACCGUUGGGCACGAUUCUCUAACUACUUUGUACCUGUUGCUUUUGGAUGGAUGGCAUGAGACCCUGGCUGAACAUGAACUUGUGAAAUGAACUUUGGAAAGUGUGUGUAACUAUUUUGCUUCCGCUACUACAAACAUGUGUUGUAAUAACUAAGUAACUCCAAUGUGGUGCCGCUUCGACGGCAAUGAGUGACUAUGUAACAUUCGCUGUGUUAUGUUGAACUAUUACGAUCUUGGUUUAUUGCAAGUUGGUUUCAAGUCCUUCGUGAUUUCAGUUGACUACCGGGAUUAUAUGGGCUCAAGUUUGGAAACUUGAUUGCUUGCCUAUCGUUUCUACACUUGAACUCUUAUAAUUUAGUCGGUUCUGUGACACUAAUCCUUACGCAAGGUAGGUACAUGGUUUGCAUGGAACAUACCAUAUGCUUGGAAAUCAAUUUCGAUGCACCCGAUGGAACUCCUUGAUGACGUGUGUCAUAUGGAAUCUCGCUUCGGUCCAUUUGGAGACAUUGUUAGUUUCGGUGCAAGAUAGGUGCACAGUUUGCACCUAAUGCACCAUAGUCUAAGAAACCAUUUUGGACGCACUUGUUGGUACUCCUAGGUGAAGGGGCUCAAGUGGAUGCUCGGUUCGGUCUGUGUGGAGAUAGUGCUAAUCUUGAUGCAAGGUACGUGCAUGGAACAUACCAUAUGCUUGGAAAUCAAUUUGGAUGCACCCGAUGGAACUCCUUGAUGAUGUGUAUCAUAUAGAAUCUCUCUUUGGUCUGUUUAGAAACAGUGUUAGUUUCGGUGCAAGAUAUGUGCAUGGUUUGCGCCUAAUGCACCAUAGUCUAAGAAACCAUUUUGGAAGCACCUGUUGGUACUUCGGUGAAGAGGCUCAAGUGGAAGCUCGGUUUGAUCUGUUUGGAGAUAUUGCUAAUCUUGAUGCAAGAUAGAUGCACGGUCUGCAUUGAACGUACCAUAUGCUUAGAAAUUAAUUUGGACACACCCGAUAGAACUCCUUGAUGACGUGUGUCAUAUGGAAUCUCGCUUGGUGUGCUUAGAGAUAGUAUUAGUUUCGGUGCAAGAUAUGUGCACAGUUUGCGCCUAAUGCACCGAAGUCUAAAAAACCAUUUUGGAAGCACCUGUUGGUACUCCUAGGUGAAGAGGCUCAAGUGGAGGCUCUGUUCGUUCUGUUUAGAGAUAAUGCUAAUGUUGAUGCAAGAUAGGUGCACGAUUUGCAUGGAACAUACCAUAUGCUCAGAAAUCUAUUUGGAUGCACCAGAUGGAACUCCUAGAUGGCAUGUGUCAUAUGGAAUCUCACUUUGGUCCGUUUAGAGAUUGUGUUAGUUUCGGUGCAAGAUAGGUGCACGGUUUGCACCUAAUGCACCAUAGGAUAAGAAACCAUUUUGUUCACACCUGAUGGUACUCCUAGGUCAAGGGGCUCAAGUGAAAGCUCGGUUUGGUCUGUUUGGAUAUAGUGCUAAUCUUGAUGCAAGAUAGAUGCAAGGUUUGCAUGGAACAUACGAUAUGCUCAGGAAUCAAUUAGGACACACCUGAUAUAACUCCUUGAUGAUGUGUGUCAUAUGGAAUCUUGCUUCGAUUCGUUUAGAGAUAGUAUUAGCUUUGCUAUAAGAUAUGUGCACGGUUUACGCCUAAUGCACCAUAGGCUAAGAAACCAUUUUAGACACACCUGAUGGUACUCCUAGUUGAAGAGGCUCAAGUGGAGGCUCGAUUUGGUCUGUUCGGAUAUAGUGCUAAUCUUGAUGCAACAUAGUUGGACAGUUUGCAUGGAACGUACCAUAUGUUAAGAAAUCAAUUUGGACACACCUAAAGGAACACAAUGCCGUGUGUCAUAUGGAAUCUCGCUUCGGUCUGUUUGGAGACAAUGUUAGUUUUGGUGCAAGAUAGGUGCAUAGUUUGUGCCUAAUGCACCAUAGUCUAAGAAACCAUUUUUGAUGCAACUGUUUGUACUCCUAGAUGAAGAGCCUCAAGUGGAAGCUCGGUUCGGUCUGUUUGGAGAUAGUGUUAAUCUUGAUGCAAGAUAGAUAGGUCCACGGUUUGCAUGGAACAUACCAUAUGCUUGGAAAUCAAUUUGUAUGCACCCGAUGGAACUCCUUGAUGACCUGUGUCAUAUGGAAUCUCGCUUUGGUCUGUUUAGAAACAGUGUUAGUUUUGGUGCAAGAUAUGUGCAUGGUUUGCGCCUAAUGCACCAUAGUUUAAGAAACCAUUUUGGAAGCACCUGUUGGUAGUUCGGUGAAGAGGCUCAAGUGGAAGCUCGGUUUGAUCUGUUUGGAGAUAGUGCUAAACUUGAUGCAAGAUAGAUGCACGGUCUGCAUGGAACAUACCAUAUGCUUAGAAAUUAAUUUGCACACAAACAAUAGAACUCCUUGAUGACGUGUGUCAUAUGGAAUCUUGCUUCGGUUCGUUUGUAAACAUUGUAAGUUUUAGUACAAGAUAGGUGCAUAGUUUGCGCCUAAUGCACCAUAGUCGAAGAAACCAUUUUGGACGCACUGUUUGGUACUCCUUGGUGAAGAGGCUCAAGUGGAAGCUUGGUUCGGUCAGUUUGGAGAUAGUGCUAAUCCUUAUGCAAGGUAGGUGCUUGGUUUGCAUGGAACAUACCAUAUGCUUGGAAAUCAAUUUCGAUGCACCCGAUGGAAGUCCUUGAUGACGUGUGUCGUAUGGAAUCUCGCUUCGGUCCAUUUGAGACAUUGUUAGUUUCGGUGCAAGAUAGGUGCACAGUUUGCACCUAAUGCACCAUAGUCUAAGAAACCAUUUUGGACGCACUUGUUGGUACUCCUAGGUGAAGGGGCUCAAGUGGAUGCUCGGUUUGGUCUGUUUGGAGAUAGUGCUAAUCUUGAUGCAAGGUUGGUGCAUGGAACAUACCAUAUGUUUGGAAAUCAAUUUGGAUGCACCCGAUGGAACUCCUUGAUGAUGUGUAUCAUAUGGAAUCUCUCUUUGGUCUGUUUAGAAACAGUGUUAGUUUCGGUGCAAGAUAUGUGCAUGAUUUGCGCCUAAUACACCAUAGUCUAAGAAACCAUUUUGGAAGCACCUGUUGGUACUUCGGUGAAGAGGCUCAAGUGGAAGCUCGGUUUGAUCUGUUUGGAGAUAGUGCUAAUCUUGAUGCAAGAUAGAUGCACGGUCUGCAUGGAACGUACCAUAUGCUUAGAAAUUAAUUUGGACACACCCGAUAGAACUCCUUGAUGACGUGUGUCAUAUGGAAUCUCGCUUUGGUGUGCUUAGAGAUAGUAUUAGUUUCGGUGCAAGAUAUGUGCACGGUUUGCACCUAAUGCACCAAAGUCUAAAAAACCAUUUUGGAAGCAACUAUUGGUACUCCUAGGUGAAGAGGCUCAAGUGGAGGCUCUGUUCGGUCUGUUUAGAGAUAAUGCUAAUGUUGAUGCAAGAUAGGUGCACGAUUUGCAUGGAACAUACCAUACGCUCAGAAAUCUAUUUGGAUGCACCAGAUGGAACUCCUAGAUGACAUGUGUCAUAAGGAAUCUCACUUCGGUCCGUUUAGAGACUGUGUUAGUUUCGGUGCAAGAUAGGUGCACGGUUUGCACCUAAUGCACCAUAGGAUAAGAAACCAUUUUGGACGCACCCCGAUGGUACUCCUAGGUCAAGGGGCUCAAGUGAAAGCUCGGUUUGGUCUGUUUGGAUAUAGUGCUAAUCUUGAUGCAAGAUAGAUGCACGGUUUGCAUGGAACAUACGAUAUGCUCAGAAAUCAAUUAGGACACACCUGAUAUAACUCCUUGAUGAUGUGUGUCAUAUGGAAUCUUGCUUCGAUUCGUUUAGAGACAGUGUUAGCUUUGGUAUAAGAUAUGUGCACGGUUUACGCCUAUUGCACCAUAGGCUAAGAAACCAUUUUAGACACACCCGAUGGUACUCGUAGUUGAAGAGGCUCAUGUGGAGGCUCUAUUUUGUCUGUUCGGAUAUAGUGCUAAUCUUGAUGCACCAUAGUUGCACAGUUUGCAUGGAACGUAUCAUAUGUUAAGAAAUCAAUUUGGACACACCUAAAGGAACUCCUAGAUGACGGGAGACAAUGUUAGUUUUGGUGCAAGAUAGGUGCAUAGUUUGUGCCUAAUGCACCAUAGUCUAAGAAACCAUUUUUGAUACAACUGUUUGUACUCCUAGAUGAAGAGGCUCAAGUGGAGGCUCGGUUCGGUCUGUUUAGAGAUAGUGCUAAUCUUGAUGCAAGAUAGGUGCACGGUUUGCAUGGAACAUACCAUAUGCUUGGAAAUCAAUUUGUAUGCACCCGAUGAAACUCCUUGAUGACCUGUGUCAUAUGGAAUCUCGAUUUGGUCUGUUUAGAAACAGUGUUAGUUUCGGUGCAAGAUAUGUGCAUGGUUUGUGGCUAAUGCACCAUAGUUUAAGAAACCAUUUUGGAAGCACCAGUUGGUAGUUCGGUGAAGAGGCUCAAGUGGAAGCUCGGUUUAAUCUGUUUGGAGAUAGUGCUAAACUUGAUGCAAGAUAGAUGCACGGUCUGCAUGGAACAUACCAUAUGCUUAGAAAUUAAUUUGGACACAAACAAUAGAACUCCUUGAUGACCUGUGUCAUAUGGAAUCUUGCUUCGGUUCGUUUGUAGACAUUGUAAGUUUUAGUACAAGAUAGGUGCAUAGUUUGCGCCUAAUGCACCAUAGUCUAUGAAACCAUUUUGGACGCACUGAUUGGUACUCCUUGGUGAAGAGGCUCAAGUGGAAGCUUGGUUCGGUUAGUUUGGAGAUAGUGCUAAUCCUUAUGCAAGGUAGGUGCAUGGUUUGCAUGGAACAUACCAUAUGCUUGGAAAUCAAUUUCGAUGCACCCGAUGGAACUCCUUGAUGACUGUGUCAUAUGGAAUCUCGCUUCGGUCCAUUUGAGACAUUGUUAGUUUCGGUGCAAGAUAGAUGCACAGUUUGCACCUAAUGCACCAUAGUCUAAGAAACCAUUUUGGACGCACUUGUUGGUACUCCUAGGUGAAGGGGCUCAAGUGGAUGCUCGGUUCGGUCUGUUUGGAGAUAGUGCUAAUCUUGAUGCAAGGUAGGUGCAUGGAACAUACCAUAUGCUUGGAAAUCAAUGUGAUGCACCCGGUGGAACUCCUUGAUAAUGUGUGUCAUAUGGAAUCUCUCUUUGGUCUGUUUAGAAACAGUGUUAGUUUCGGUGCAAGAUAUGUGCAUGAUUUGCGCCUAAUGCACCAUAGUCUAAGAAACCAUUUUGGAAGCACCUGUUGGUACUUCACUGAAGAGGCUCAAGUGGAAGCUCGGUUUGAUCUGUUUGGAGAUAGUGCUAAUCUUGAUGCAAGAUAGAUGCACGGUCUGCAUGGAACGUACCAUAUGCUUAGAAAUUAAUUUGGACACACCCGACAGAACUCCUUGAUGACGUGUGUCAUAUGGAAUCUCGCUUUGGUGUGCUUAGAGAUAGUAUUAGUUUCGGUGCAAGAUAUGUGCACGGUUUGCGCCUAAUGCACCAAAGUCUAAAAAACCAUUUUGGAAGCACCUGUUGGUACUCCUAGGUGAAGAGGCUCAAAUGGAGGCUCUGUUCAGUCUGUUUAGAGAUAAUGCAAAUGUUGAUGCAAGAUAGGUGCACGAUUUGCAUGGGACAUACCAUAUGCUUAGAAAUCUAUUUGGAUGCACCAGAUGGAACUCCUAGAUGACAUGUGUCAUAAGGAAUCUCACUUCGGUCCGUUUAGAGACUGUGUUAGUUUCGGUGCAAGAUAGGUGCACGGUUUGCACCUAAUGCACCGUAGGAUAAGAAACCAUUUUGGACGCACCCUGAUGGUACUCCUAGGUCAAGGGGCUCAAGUGAAAGCUCGGUUUGGUCUGUUUGGAUAUAGUGCUAAUCUUGAUGCAAGAUAGAUGCACGGUUUGCAUGGAACAUACGAUAUGCUCAGAAAUCAAUUAGGACACACCUGAUAUAACUCCAUGAUGAUGUGUGUCAUAUGGAAUCUUGGUUCGAUUCGUUUAGAGAUAGUGUUAGCUUUGGUAUAAGAUAUGUGCACGGUUUACGCCUAAUGCACCAUAGGCUAAGAAUCCAUUGUAGACACACCCGAUGGUACUCGUAGUUGAAGAGGCUCAGAGGCUCGAUUUGGUCUGUUCGGAUAUAGUGCUAAUCUUGAUGCAACAUAAUUGCAUAGUUUGCAUGGAACGUACCAUAUGUUAAGAAAUCAAUUUGGACACACCUAAAGGAACUCCUAGAUGACGUGUGUCAUAUGGAAUCUCGCUUUGGUCUAUUUGGAGACAAUGUUAGUUUUGGUGCAAUAUAUGUGCAUAGUUUGUGCCUAAUGCACCAUAGUCUAAGAAACCAUUUUUGAUGCAACUGUUUGUACUCCUAGAUGAAGAGGCUCAAGUGGAAGCUCGGUUCGGUCUGUUUGGAGAUAGUGCUAAUCUUGAGGCAAGAUAGGUGCAUGGUUUGCAUGGAACAUACCAUAUGCUUGGAAAUCAAUUUGUAUGCACCCGGUGGAACUCCUUGAUGACCUGUGUCAUAUGGAAUCUCGAUUUGGUCUGUUUAGAAACAGUGUUAGUUUCGGUGCAAGAUAUGUGCAUGGUUUGCGCCUAAUGCACCAUAGUUUAAGAAACCAUUUUGGAAGCACCAGUUGGUAGUUCGGUGAAGAGGCUCAAGUGGAAGCUCGGUUUGAUCUGUUUGGAGAUAGUGCUAAACUUGAUGCAAGAUAGAUGCACGGUCUGCAUGGAACAUACCAUAAGCUUAGAAAUUAAUUUGGACACAAACAAUAGAACUCCUUGAUGACGUGUGUCAUAUGGAAUCUUGUUUCGGUUCGUUUGUAGACAUUGUAAGUUUUAGUGCAAGAUAGGUGUACAGUUUGCGCCUAAUGCACCAUAGUCUAAGAAACCAUUUUGGACGCACUGUUUGGUACUCCUUGGUGAAGAGGCUCAAGUGGAAGCUUGGUUCAGUCAGUUUGGAGAUAGUGCUAAUUGUAACACCCCAGUGUUAUGGUUGCAUCAAUCACAUGCAUAACAUGAGCAUUAUCAUCUACUCAAGCAUAGCAUGAUCAUCAUCUACCUUGAGCCAUGUCAUUUUAUGCUUAAGUGUGCUUUAACUUGUUUAAUCAUGUUUCCUAUGCUUGUGUUGGUGUGUACCAUGCUUAUAUGUGUGUACUAUGUCUUGCUCCAGUUGACAAUGUUGUAGAACUCAGCUAGUACUCCAACUUUGUCAACUACACCAUCUCCUAAUUCGUUUUGGUUUGGGAGAUAAUCAUUGUCAAAGUAGCUCUAUCAGUCGGUCAUCGUUUUGUCUGAAUCAGACUCGAGCUCGCCGUCGUGGUCACCCGGCGCGACACCUGUCCGCCAUUUGUCGCCCGUACGCCGGCGUUGGCCCCGCCCGUCAGGCCGUCGGCGUCGUCAUGGACGCCACGACACACCGCACUCACUCAGCGCCCGUCCAUUCUCUCCCUGUCUCUCUCUCACGCUCCGCCUGGCGAAAACGCCGUCGCCAUUGCCGCCGUGAGCUUCACGAGCUCCUCGCGCCCUCGCCUCUGCGUUUCGCCUCGCCUCCGAGCGUCUCUGAGCCCGCCUCGAGCUCCUCCAUCUCCUCCGCCUCUCGGCUGGACGAGAUCUUCCCUAGGUGAGCGACAUUUCGCGAGUUCGUCGUCGUCGGGUUUGCGGCUGUCGCGACACCGAUUCCGACGAAACUCGCCGCUGCUCCGUUCUCGCCUCCUUUCUUCCUUCUGAGUCGCGUUAAGGUUUGCUUAGGUCUUGGCGUCGGUUCACGCCACGCCAUUCUGGCUGAAACACCACCGUCGUGCGGGAACACGGCCGCCGCACCGCCGUGCUCACCGCCGACGAGCACCUCGCACGUGAGCAGACUCACCGGAGUCAUUAGGGUUAGGCGUUUCUACCUAGAAAGCUCCGCGCUAGCUCACUGAUGCUUAAGCCGCCCUUCCCCGACGCUCUACCGGUCGGAGGUGGCCGGCGUAAGCCGGGGUAGCUCCGCCGUGCCGCCAUGGCCGAUGGCGACCCCUCUCCGUCACUAGAACCCUAGCGCCACCUACCUCCAUCGAUGCGGAAUCACUCCAGGAUCACGCUGGUGCCCUUGGAUCCGCCGGAGAAGCUCACUGUCGGCGAGCAUUCGCCGGUGAAGGCGUCCUCUGUUCUCUGGGUCGCUGACGCGCGGGACCCACUGUCAGCGACUCAACGGUCUUCUCCUUUCUUUUAUUCAAAUCCAGAUUUUUGGCUUUCUUGAAAAAAUCAUAUCUCCUAUUUCUGAGAUCCAAAAAUUGUGAAACCAAUUUUGUGAGAUUCCUUGAGAUGGCUAUUGUUUUGUAAAAAUAUAAAAUGAACCAUAUUUUCUAGGAAAAAUAUUUAUUAGGAUUUAAUCUUGUUAUUUAUGAGUGAAUUCAUAUCUCUUGUUAUACUGCUCAUCUGGCUAUGAAAUUUUUAUGGUAGUCUCUGAGUGGUAUGAGAAUGCUAUGAUAAAUAUUUCAUGAUUUUUGGAGUACUACAUCUGUGAUAUGUAAUUUAUGAUUCAGAUAUGGCUUGUUUUCUUAAUUAAAUCAUAGUAAAUAAUUGAUGCUUAUGCUGGUGCUAUACUUUGGUGUCACACUUAUUUAUGGUAAUAGUAGUAUGUAAAUAAUCUGAAAUUUGUUGUUUGACACUAAAUAAGCCAUGUUUCUGAAUUUAUGAAAUAAACACCUUGUCACAUGUUAAAUGCUUAUCUCAAUUUUGGCAUGUGCUUGCUCUGAAAAUUUUAUGGUAAGGUAUAGAUGCUAUGCUUGUGCUUCUGUAAUUUUUGUAGAUUUUUCUGAGCACCUUUGCUGGUAUCUUGUAAUAACGCUCUUUUAUAGAAUUAAAUUGAUAAAUGCUUUAUUAGUUAAUAUCUAGGGGUUAACAAAUGAUGUUCUGGUUGUCUUAUGAUAUGCUUGUGCUUGUAAGCCAUUUGGCUGGUACUAGAUGUGUUUUGGUUAUGUCAUCAAAUAAUUAAUUAGAGGGUUAAGAGCUGCCCUGGACAGCAAGGGGGUAAUCUAACCUUUACAUGUUGAUAACUUGGUUUGCUGGAAGACUUGUCUAAAUCAAAGUUGUUGUAAACUGUAUAAUCUAGCUGUGGUUUAAUUUUGGGAUCAUUUUGUUCAAUAAUUUGAAAGAUAUAGCUUAUCCAAGUUGGGUUCCAGAAAUAUGUGCUUUCUGUUUUUCUGGGACAGAACCUGGAACUUUGUUUAUAUGACUUGUUUAACUUAUGAAUCUUGCUGUGAUGUUUAAAUAUGAGUUGUAGACAAUUUCAUAAGCUUUCUAGAAUGUCCUCAUUUAUGUUUGUUGGAUCCUUAUAGCAAUAGUUAUGAAUUGUUUACUGAGCUUUUCUAUUAUAAUGCUUGCUGUUUUAGGUUGACUUGGUAGGUUUUUGCUAAGUUAACUAAUUACCUUGUGUAGACUUGUUAUAACGAUUACUCCAUAAAUGAGUGUCCAGUGAGUCUAAUUAGGUUAUCAAGCAUUCAUCCUCGUCCAGCAUGCACCCAUUCUUACUUAAUCAUGCAUGCAAUAGGUGCACCGGACGCGACAGUUUUGUUCGAGCUCCAAGCGAACCCCGAAGGCCAGGAGGGCAACCCGGAGGUGGAGGUCCAGCAAGCCGGACCCGAGGAGCCCGAAGAAGAGGUUGAGUGCCCUAACCACGAGCCAGCUUCGUUCGUGAAAGGCAAGCUCCGGAGCAUCUUAAGUCUCCCACUUUAAUUUCGAAAGCUUACUUGGCUAUGUUAUACUUAUUGAUGCAUUUACUUAUAGGAGUUGUGAUGAAACCCUUGCUGCAUGUUACUCAAUCCUUGUCGAGAUAUCUUACCACUACCUGGUUAUAGAGUUAGGAUCGAGUAGCAGCUUAGUCAUGCUUUAAUCGGUAGAAGUCUGGUGAUAUCCUGUCACCUGCGCGAGAUAGGGUUGAGUCGGAUCACGAUUGUCUAUAUGUGCUAUCGUGGAAAGAACCUGAUUAAAUUGACAUAAGCCGGGCGGAGUUUUGCAAGGUUGUAGUAACUCCGUCUGUGGCAGCUAAGGACCGACCGUUGUACGUCCUCUUGUCAUGUUGAACGCAUGCCUAACACUUAGUUGGCCGGAUAAUUCGUUCCGACCGCGAAGCCUAGUAGUAUGACUCAGGCCGGAAGACCGGCAAGUAUAAAGUGCGCACUACCGGAGGAAGUGCGGUGUGUGGGGGACCAUUGGCGUAAGACCAAAGGCAGGUGAGUUAAAAUUCCUGACCUCCCUAGCAGAGUGGUAGCCCUGGGAGUGCGGCGCUGAUCGGAGCCGCGAUUCCUGAGUCGUACCAAAGGUGACCCGUUGGCUCUCCGACGGGGGAUGCUUGGGUGAGUGCUAGGAAUAACCCUCCAGCUGGAUAGGAAUCGAUUCGAAUCGCCGUCUCUCCCGGAUAGUGAGAACUUGACAGAGCAGUGGCAAACGUAGCAUUCACUAAAGGACAAUGGUUCAUAAUAAUGAUGAUAGCAAGGAAGAGCAUAUGAUGAACUUGAUAUGGUUAUUAUUGCUUGUAAUAAUCAAGUGAUGUGUUUAGUACAGGUGCUAAUCUAGUGAUAGGCUAAUAAUGAUUAAUAUGAUGCUUUUACAAUAAUAUAGCUAUCAGUUAAGCUUUUGGCAAUUGUUAAGUCAAACUAGCUCCACAAUGUACUUAGCCUUGCAUGAUCCUUGGUGUCUUUUAUAUUUUACUAGACGGGUAAGUCUAGCUGAGUACAUCCUCGUACUCAAGGUUUAUUCCCACCUGUUGCAGAUGAUAUCUUUUAUGAUGGCUUCUGCUAGACCUGUCUCCAUCCCUUUGGGGAUGAGGACUAAACCGUUGGGCACGGUUCUCUAACUACUUCGUACCUGUUGCUUUUGGAUGGAUGGCAUGAGACCCUGGCUGAACAUGAACUUGUGAAAUGAACUUUCGAAAGUGUGUGUAACUAUUUUGCUUCCGCUACUACAAACAUGUGUUGUAAUAACUAAGUAACUCCGAUGUGGUGCCGCUUCGAUGGCAAUGAGUGACUAUGUAACAUUCGCUGUGUUAUGUUGAACUAUUACGAUCUUGGUUUGUUGCAAGUUGGUUUCAAGUCCUUCGUGAUUUCAGUUGACUACCGGGAUUAUAUGGGCUCAAGCUUGGAAACUUGAUUGCUUGCCUAUCGUUUCUAUACUUGAACUCUUAUAAUUUGGUCGGUUCUGUGACACUAAUCCUUACGCAAGGUAGGUGCAUGGUUUGCAUGGAACAUACCAUAUGCUUGGAAAUCAAUUUCGAUGCACCCGAUGGAACUCCUUGAUGACGUGUGUCAUAUGGAAUCUCGCUUCGGUCCAUUUGGAGACAUUGUUAGUUUCGGUGCAAGAUAGGUGCACAGUUUGCACCUAAUGCACCAUAGUCUAAGAAACAAUUUUGGACGCACUUGUUGGUACUCCUAGGUGAAGCGGCUCAAGUGGAUGCUCGGUUCGGUCUGUGUGGAGAUAGUGCUAAUCUUGAUGCAAGGUAGGUGCAUGGAACAUACCAUAUGCUUGGAAAUCAAUUUGGAUGCACCCGAUGGAACUCCUUGAUGAUGUGUAUCAUAUAGAAUCUCUCUUUGGUCUGUUUCGAAACAGUGUUAGUUUCGGUGCAAGAUAUGUGCAUGGUUUGCGCCUAAUGCACCAUAGUCUAAGAAACCAUUUUGGAAGCACCUGUUGGUACUUCGGUGAAGAGGCACAAGUGGAAGCUCGGUUUGAUCUGUUUGGAGAUAUUGCUAAUCUUGAUGCAGGAUAGAUGCACGGUCUGCAUUGAACGUACCAUAUGCUUAGAAAUUAAUUUGGACACACCCGAUAGAACUCCUUGAUGAUGUGUGUCAUAUGGAAUCUCGCUUUGGUGUGCUUAGAGAUAGUAUUAGUUUCGGUGCAAGAUAUGUGCACAGUUUGCGCCUAAUGCACUAGAGUCUAAAAAACCAUUUUGGAAGCACCUGUUGGUACUCCUAGGUGAAGAGGCUCAAGUGGAGGCUCUGUUCGGUCUGUUUAGAGAUAAUGCUAAUGUUGAUGCAAGAUAGGUGCACGAUUUGCAUGGAACACACCAUAUGCUCAGAAAUCUAUUUGGAUGCACCAGAUGGAACUCCUAGAUGGCAUGUGUCAUAUGGAAUCUCACUUCGGUCCGUUUAGAGAUUGUGUUAGUUUCGGUGCAAGAUAGGUGCACGGUUUGCACCUAAUGCACCAUAGGAUAAGAAACCAUUUUGGACGCACCCCGAUGGUACUCCUAGGUCAAGGGGCUCAAGUGAAAGCUCGGUUUGGUCUGUUUGGAUAUAGUGCUAAUCUUGAUGCAAGAUAGAUGCACGGUUUGCAUGGAACAUACGAUAUGCUCAGGAAUCAAUUAGGACACACCUGAUAUAACUCCUUGAUGAUGUGUGUCGUAUGGAAUCUUGCUUCGAUUCGUUUAGAGACAGUAUUAGUUUUUCUAUAAGAUAUGUGCAUGGUUUACGCCUAAUGCACCAUAGGCUAAGAAACCAUUUUAGACACACCCGAUGGUACUCGUAGUUGAAGAGGCUCAAGUGGAGGCUCGAUUUGGUCUGUUCGGAUAUAGUGCUAAUCUUGAUGCAACAUAGUUGGACAGUUUGCAUGGAACGUACCAUAUGUUAAGAAAUCAAUUUGGACACACCUAAAGGAACACAAUGACGUGUGUCAUAUGGAAUCUCGCUUCGGUCUGUUUGGAGACAAUGUUAGUUUUGGUGCAAGAUAGGUGCAUAGUUUGUGCCUAAUGCACCAUAGUCUAAGAAACCAUUUUUCAUGCAACUGUUUGUACUCCUAGAUGAAGAGCCUCAAGUGGAAGCUCAGUUCGGUCUGUUUGGAGAUAGUGUUAAUCUUGAUGCAAGAUAGAUAGGUGCACGGUUUGCAUGGAACAUACCAUAUGCUUGGAAAUCAAUUUGUAUGCACCCGAUGGAACUCCUUGAUGACCUGUGUCAUAUGGAAUCUUGCUUUGGUCUGUUUAGAAACAAUGUUAGUUUCCGUGCAAGAUAUGUGCAUGGUUUGCGCCUAAUGCACCAUAGUUUAAGACACCAUUUUGGAAGCACCUGUUGGUAGUUCGGUGAAGAGGCUCAAGUGGAAGCUCGGUUUGAUCUGUUUGGAGAUAGUGCUAAACUUGAUGCAAGAUAGAUGCACGGUCUGCAUCGAACAUACCAUAUGCUUAGAAAUUAAUUUGGACACAAACAAAAGAACUCCUUGAUGACGUGUGUCAUAUGGAAUCUUGCUUCGGUUCGUUUGUAGACAUUGUAAGUUUUAGUGCAAGAUAUGUGCACGGUUUGCGCCUAACACACCAAAGUCUAAAAAACUAUUUUGCAAGCACGUGUUGGUACUCCUAGGUGAAGAGGCUCAAGUGGAGGCUCUGUUCGGUCUGUUUAGAGAUAAUGCUAAUGUUGAUGCAAGAUAGGUGCACGAUUUGCAUGGAACAUACCAUAUGCUCAAAAAUCUAUUUGGAUGCACCAGAUGGAACUCCUAGAUGACAUGUGUCAUAAGGAAUCUCACUUCGGUCCGUUUAGAGACUGUGUUAGUUUCGGUGCAAUGGACACAAACAAUAGAACUCCUUGAUGACGUGUGUCAUAUGGAAUCUUGCUUCGGUUCGUUUGCAGACAUUGUAAGUUUUAGUGCAAGAUAGGUGCACAGUUUGCGUCUAAUGCACCAUAGUCUAAGAAACCAUUUUGGACGCACUGUUUGGUACUCCUUGGUGAAGAGGCUCAAGUGGAAGCUUGGUUCGGUCAGUUUGGAGAUAGUGCUAAUCCUUAUGCAAGGUACGUGAAUGGUUUGCAUGGAACAUACCAUAUGCUUGGAAAUCAAUUUCGAUGCACCCGAUGGAACUCCUUGAUGACGUGUGUCAUAUGGAAUCUCGCUUCGGUCCAUUUGAGACAUUGUUAGUUUCGGUGCAAGAUAGAUGCACAGUUUGCACCUAAUGCACCAUAGUCUAAGAAACCAUUUUGGACGCACUUGUUGGUACUCCUAGGUGAAGGGGCUCAAGUGGAUGCUUGGUUCGGUCUGUUUGGAGAUAGUGCUAAUCUUGAUGCAAGGUAGGUGCAUGGAACAUACCAUAUGCUUGGAAAUCAAUGUGAUGCACCCGGUGGAACUCCUUGAUAAUGUGUGUCAUAUGGAAUCUCUCUUUGGUCUGUUUAGAAACAGUGUUAGUUUCGGUGCAAGAUAUGUGCAUGAUUUGCGCCUAAUGCACCAUAGUCUAAGAAACCAUUUUGGAAGCACCUGUUGGUACUUCGGUGAAGAGGCUCAAGUGGAAGCUCGGUUUGAUCUGUUUGGAGAUAGUGCUAAUCUUGAUGCAAUAUAGAUACACGGUCUGCAUGGAACGUACCAUAUGAUUAGAAAUUAAUUUGGACACACCCGAUAGAACUCCUUGAUGACGUGUGUCAUAUGGAAUCUCGCUUUGGUGUGCUUAGAGAUAGUAUUAGUUUCGAUGCAAGAUAUGUGCACGAUUUGCGCCUAAUGCACCAAAGUCUAAAAAACCAUUUUGGAAGCACCUGUUGGUACUCCUAGGUGAAGAGGCUCAAGUGGAGGCUCUGUUCGGUGUGUUUAGAGAUAAUGCUAAUGUUGGUGCAAGAUAGGUGCACGAUUUGCGUGGAACAUACCAUACGCUCAGAAAUCUAAUUGGAUGCACCAGAUGGAACUCCUAGAUGACAUGUGUCAUAAGGAGUCUCACUUCGGUCCGUUUAGAGACUGUGUUAGUUUCGGUGCAAGAUAAGUGCACGGUUUGCACCUAAUGCACCAUAGGAUAAGAAACCAUCUUGGACGCACCCCGAUGGUACUCCUAGGUCAAGGGGCUCAAGUGAAAGCUCGGUUUGGUCUGUUUGGAGAUAGUGCUAAUCUUGAUGCAAGAUAGAUGCACGGUUUGCAUGGAACAUACGAUAUGCUCAGAAAUCAAUUUGGACACACCAGAUAUAACUCCUUGAUGAUGUGUGUCAUAUGGAAUUUUGCUUCGAUUCGUUUAGAGACAGUGUUAGCUUUAGUAUAAGAUAUGUGCAUGGUUCACGUCUAAUGCACUAUAGGCUAAGAAACCAUUUUAGACACACCCGACGGUACUCGUAGUUGAAGAGGCUCAAGUGGAGGCUCGAUUUGGUCUGUUCGGAUAUAGUGCUAAUUUUGAUGCAACAUAGUUGGACAGUUUGCAUGGAACGUACCAUAUGUUAAGAAAUCAAUUUGGACACACCUAAAGGAACUCCUAGAUGACGUGUGUCAUAUGGAAUCUCGCUUCGGUCUGUUUGGAGACAAUGUUAGCUUUGGUGCAAGGUAGGUGCAUAGUUUGUGCCUAACGCACCAUAGUCGAAGAAACCAUUUUUGAUGCAACUGUUUGUACUCAUAGAUGAAGUGGCUCAAGUGGAAGCUCGGUUCGGUCUGUUUGGAGAUAGUGCUAAUCUUGAUGCAAGAUAGGUGCACGGUUUGCAUGGAACAUACCAUAAGCUUGGAAAUCAAUUUGUAUACACCGGAUGGAACUCCUUGAUGACCUGUGUCAUAUGGAAUCUCGCUUUGGUCUGUUUAGAAACAAUGUUAGUUUCGGUGCAAGAUAUGUGCAUGGUUUGCGCUUAAUGCACCAUAGUUUAAGAAACCAUUUUGGAAGCACCUGUUGGUAGUUCGGUGAAGAGGCUCAAGUGGAAGCACGGUUUGAUCUGUUUGGAGAUAGUGCUAAACUUGAUGCUAGAUAGAUGCACAGUAUGCAUGGAACAUACCAUAUGCUUAGAAAUUAAUUUGGACACAAACAAUAGAACUCCUUGAUGACGUGUGUCAUAUGGAAUCUCGCUUUGGUGUGCUUAGAGAUAGUAUUAGUUUCGGUGCAAGAUAGGUGCACAGUUUGCGCCUAAUGCACCAUAGUCUAAGAAACCAUUUUGGACGCACUGUUUGGUACUCCUUGGUGAAGAGGCUCAAGUGGAAGCUUGGUUCGGUCAGUUUGGAGAUAGUGCUAAUCUUUAUGCAAGGUAGGUUCAUGGUUUGCAUGGAACAUACCAUAUGCUUGGAAAUCAAUUUCGAUGCACCCGAUGGAACUCCUUGAUGACGUGUGUCAUAUGGAAUCUCGCUUCGGUCCAUUUGGAGACAUUGUUAGUUUCGGUGCAAGAUAGGUGCACAGUUUGCACCUAAUGCACCAUAGUCUAAGAAACCAUUUUGGACGCACUUGUUGGUACUCCUAGGUGAAGGGGCUCAAGUGGAUGCUCGGUUCGGUCUGUUUGGAGAUAGUGCUAAUCUUGAUGCAAGGUAGGUGCACGGUUUGAAUGGAACAUACCAAAUGCAUGGAAAUCAAUUUGGACGCACAUGAUGGAACUCCUAGAUGACGUGUGUCAUAUGGAAUCUCCGUUUGGUCUGUUUAGAAACAGUGUUAGUUUCGGUGCAAGAUAUGUGCAUGGUUUGCGCCUAAUGCACCAUAGUCUAAGAAACCAUUUUGGAAGCACCUGUUGGUACUUUGGUGAAGUGGCUCAAGUGGAAGCUCGGUUUGAACUAUUUGGAGAUAGUGCUAAUCUUGAUGCAAGAUAGGUGCAUGAUUUGCAAGGAACGUACCAUAUGCUUAGAAAUCAAUUUGGACGCACCCAAUGGAACUCCUAGAUGACGUGUGUCAUAUGGAAUCUUGCUUCGGUCCGUUUGUAGACAUUGUAAGUUUUAGUGCAAGAGAGGUGCACAGAUUGCGCCUAAUGCAUCAUAGUCUAAGAAACCAUUUUGGAAGCACGUGUUGGUACUCCUAAGUGAAGAGGCUCAAGUGGAGGCUCGGUUCGGUCUGUUUAGAGAUAGUGCUAAUCUUGAUGCAAGAUACGUGCACAAUUUGCAUGGAACAUACCAUUAUCUCAGAAAUCAAUAUGGACGCACCAGAUGGAUCUCCUAGAUGAUAUGUGUCAUAUGGAAUCUCACUUCGGUCUGUUUAGAGACAGGAUUACUUUCAGUGCAAGAUAGGUGCACGGUUUGCACCUAAUGCACCAUAGGAUAAGAAACCAUUUUGGACGCACCCGAUGGUACUCCUAGGUCAAUGGGCUCAAGUGAAAGCUCAGUUUGGUCUGUUUGGAGAUAGUGCUAAUCUUGAUGCAAGAUAGAUGCACGGUUUGCAUAGAACAUACGAUAUGCUCAGAAAUCAAUUAGGACGCACCUGAGAUAACUCCUUGAUGAUGUGUGUCAUACGGAAUCUUGCUUUGGUUUGUUUAGGGACAGUGUUACUUUUGGUAGAAGAUAUGUGCAUGGUUUACGCCUAAUGCACCAUAGGCUAAGAAAUCAUUUUAGACGCACCCGAUGGUACUCGUAGUUGAAGAGGCUCAAGUGGAGGCUCGAUUUGGUCUGUUCAGAUAUAGUGCGAAUCUUGAUGCAAGAUAGUUGCAUGGUUUGCAUGGAACGUACCAUAUGCUCAGAAAUCAAUUUGGACGCACUAGAUGGAACUCCUAGAUGACAUGUGUCAUAUGGAAUCUCACUUCGGUCCGUUUAGAGACUGUGUUACUUUCGGUGCAAGAUAGGUGCACGGUUUGCACCUAAUGCACCAUAGGAUAAGAAACCAUUUUGGACACACCCAAUGGUACUCCUAGGUCAAGGGGCUCAAGUGAAAGCUCAGUUUGGUCUGUUUGGAGAUACGAUAUGCUCAGAAAUCAAUUAGGACGCAGCUGAUAUAACUCCUUGAUGAUGUGUGUCAUAUGGAAUCUUGUUUCGGUUCAUUUAGAGACAGUGUUAGUUUUGGUAGAAGAUAUGUCCACGAUUUACACCUAAUGCAGCAUAGGCUAAGAAACCAUUUUAGACAUACCCGAUGGUACUCGUAGUUGAAGAGGCUCAAGUGGAGGCUCGAUUUGGUCUAUUCAGAUAUAGUGCUAAUCUUGAUGCAAGAUAGUUGCACAGUUUGCGUGGAACAUACCAUAUGUUAAGAAAUCAAUUUGGACGCACCCAAUGGAACACCUAGAUGACGUGUGUCAUAUGGAAUCUCGCUUCGGUGUGUUUGGAGACAAUGUUAGUUUCGGUGCAAGAUAGGUGCAUAGUUUGUGCCUAAUGCACCAAAGUCUAAGAAACCAUUUUGAAAGCACCUGUUGGUACUCCUAGGUGAAAAGGCUCAAGUGGAGGCUCGGUUCAGUCUGUUUAGAGAUAGUGCUAAUCUUGAUGCAAGAUAGGUGUACGAUUUGCAUGGAGAAAAACCAUAUGCUCAGAAAUCAAUUUGGACGCACUAGAUGGAACUCCUAGAUGACAUGUGUCAUAUGGAAUCUCACUUCGGUCCGCUUAGAGGCAGUGUUAGUCCGGUGCAAAAUAGGAGCACGAUUUUCACCUAAUGCACCAUAGGAUAAGAAACCAUUUUGGAUGCACCCGAUGGUACUGCUAGGUCUAGGGGCUCAAGUGAAUACUCGGUUUGGUCUGCUUGGAGAUAGUGCUAAUCUUGAUGCAAGAUAGAUGCACGGUUUGCAUGGAACAUACGAUAUGCUCAGAAAUCAAUUAGGACGCACCUGAUAUAACUCCUUGAUGUUGUGUGUCAUAUGGAAUCUUGCUUUGGUUUGUUUCAUGACAGUGAUAGUUUUGGUAGAAGAUAUGUGCACGGUUUACGCCUAAUGCACCAUAGGCUAAGAAACCAUUUUAGACGCACCUGAUGGUACUCGUGGUUGAAGAGGCUCAAGUGGAGGCUCGAUUUGGUCUCUUCGUAUAUAGUGCUAAUCUUGAUGCAAGAUAGUUGCACAGUUUGCAUGGAACGUACCAUAUGUUUAGAAAUCAAUUUGGAAGCACCCAAUGGAACUCCUUGAUGAUGCGUGUCAUAUGGAAUCUCGCUUCAGUCUGUUUGGAGAUAAUGUUAGUUUUGGUGCAAGAUAAAUGCAUAGUUUGUGCCUAAUGCACUAUAGUCUAAGAAACCAUUUUUGACGAACCUGUUUGUACUCCUAGAUGAAGAGGCUCAAGUGGAAGCUCAGUUCGGUCUGUUUGGAGAUAGUGCUAAUCUUGAUGCAAAAUAGGUGCACGGUUUGCAUGGAACAUACCAUAUGCUUAGAAAUAUUUGGAUGCACCUGAUGUGACUCCUUGAUGAAAUGUGUCAUAUGGAAUCUCGCUUUGGUCUGAUUAAAAACAAUGUUAGUUUCGGUGCAAGAUAUGUGCAUGGCUUGCGCCUAAUGCACCAUAGUCUAAGAAACUAUUUUGGAAGCACCUGUUGGUACUUCGGUGAAGAGGCUCAAAUGGAAGCUUGGUUUGAUCUAUUUGGAGAUAGUGCUAAUCUUGAUGUAAGAUAGGUGCACGAUCUACAAUGAACAUACCAUAUGCUUAGAAAUCAAUUUUAAUGCACCAAAUGGAACUCCUAGAUGACGUGUGUCAUAUGGAAUCUUGCUUCGGUCUGUUUGUAGACAUUGUAAGUUUUAGUGCAAGAUAGGUGCACAGUUUGCGCCUAAUGCACCAUAGUCUAAGAAACCAUUACGGACGCACUAUUUGGUACUCCUGGGUGAAGAAGCUCAAGUGAAAGCUUGGUUCGGUCAGUUUGGAGAUAGUGUUAAUCCUUAUGCAAGGUAGUUGCAUGGUUUGCAUGGAACGUACCAUAUGCUCAGAAAUCAAUUUGGACGCACUAGAUGGAACUCCUAGAUGACAUGUGUCAUAUGGAAUCUCACUUCGGUCCGUUUAGAGACUGUGUUACUUUCGGUGCAAGAUAGGUGCACGGUUUGCACCUAAUGCACCAUAGGAUAAGAAACCAUUUUGGACACACCCAAUGGUACUCCUAGGUCAAGGGGCUCAAGUGAAAGCUCAGUUUGGUCUGUUUGGAGAUACGAUAUGCUCAGAAAUCAAUUAGGACGCAGCUGAUAUAACUCCUUGAUGAUGUGUGUCAUAUGGAAUCUUGUUUCGGUUCAUUUAGAGACAGUGUUAGUUUUGGUAGAAGAUAUGUCCACGAUUUACACCUAAUGCAGCAUAGGCUAAGAAACCAUUUUAGACAUACCCGAUGGUACUCGUAGUUGAAGAGGCUCAAGUGGAGGCUCGAUUUGGUCUAUUCAGAUAUAGUGCUAAUCUUGAUGCAAGAUAGUUGCACAGUUUGCGUGGAACAUACCAUAUGUUAAGAAAUCAAUUUGGACGCACCCAAUGGAACACCUAGAUGACGUGUGUCAUAUGGAAUCUCGCUUCGGUGUGUUUGGAGACAAUGUUAGUUUCGGUGCAAGAUAGGUGCAUAGUUUGUGCCUAAUGCACCAAAGUCUAAGAAACCAUUUUGAAAGCACCUGUUGGUACUCCUAGGUGAAAAGGCUCAAGUGGAGGCUCGGUUCAGUCUGUUUAGAGAUAGUGCUAAUCUUGAUGCAAGAUAGGUGUACGAUUUGCAUGGAGAAAAACCAUAUGCUCAGAAAUCAAUUUGGACGCACUAGAUGGAACUCCUAGAUGACAUGUGUCAUAUGGAAUCUCACUUCGGUCCGCUUAGAGGCAGUGUUAGUCCGGUGCAAAAUAGGAGCACGAUUUUCACCUAAUGCACCAUAGGAUAAGAAACCAUUUUGGAUGCACCCGAUGGUACUGCUAGGUCUAGGGGCUCAAGUGAAUACUCGGUUUGGUCUGCUUGGAGAUAGUGCUAAUCUUGAUGCAAGAUAGAUGCACGGUUUGCAUGGAACAUACGAUAUGCUCAGAAAUCAAUUAGGACGCACCUGAUAUAACUCCUUGAUGUUGUGUGUCAUAUGGAAUCUUGCUUUGGUUUGUUUCAUGACAGUGAUAGUUUUGGUAGAAGAUAUGUGCACGGUUUACGCCUAAUGCACCAUAGGCUAAGAAACCAUUUUAGACGCACCUGAUGGUACUCGUGGUUGAAGAGGCUCAAGUGGAGGCUCGAUUUGGUCUCUUCGUAUAUAGUGCUAAUCUUGAUGCAAGAUAGUUGCACAGUUUGCAUGCAACAUACCAUAUGUUAAGAAAUUAAUUUGGAAGCACCCAAUGGAACUCCUUGAUGAUGCGUGUCAUAUGGAAUCUCGCUUCAGUCUGUUUGGAGACAAUGUUAGUUUUGGUGCAAGAUAGGUGCAUAGUUUGUGCCUAACGCACCAUAGUCUAAGAAACCAUUUUUGACACACCUGUUUGUACUCCUAGAUGAAGAGGCUCAAGUGGAAGCUCAGUUCGGUCUGUUUGGAGAUAGUGCUAAUCUUGAUGCAAGAUAGGUGCACGGUUUGCAUGGAACAUACCAUAUGCUUUGAAAUCAAUUUGGAUGCACCUGAUGUGACUCCUUGAUGAAAUGUGUCAUAUGGAAUCUCGCUUUGGUCUAUUUAGAAGUAGUGUUAGUUUCGGUGCAAGAUAUGUGCAUGGCUUGCGCCUAAUGCACCAUAGUCUAAGAAACUAUUUUGGAAGCAUCUGUUGGUACUUCGGAGAAGAGGCUUAAGUGGAAGCUCGGUUUGAUCUGUUUGGAGAUAGUCCUAAUCUUGAUGCAAGAUAGGUGCAUGAUUUCCAAGGAACAUACCAUAUGCUUAGAAAUCAAUUUGGACGCACCCAAUGGAACUCCUAGAUGACGUGUGUUAUAUGGAAUCUUGCUUCGGUCCAUUUGUACACAUUGCAAGUUUUAGGGCAAGAUAGGUGCAUAGUUUGCGCCUAAUGCACCAUAGUCUAAGAAACCAUUUUGGACGCACUUGUUGGUACAAAUAGCCGAAGGGGCUCAAGUGGAUGCUCGGUUCUUUCUGUUUGGAGAUAGUGCUAAUCUUGAUGCAAGAUAGGUGCACGGUUUACAUGGAACGUACCAAAUGCUUGGAAAUCAAUCUAGACGCACAUGAUGGAACUCCUAGAUGACGUGUGUCAUACAAAAUCUUACUUUGGUCUGUUUGGAGACAGUGUUAGUUUCGAUGAAAGAUAGGUACAAGGUUUGCACAUAAUGCAGCAUAGGCUAAGAAACCAUUUUGGACUCACUCGAUGGUACUCCUAGGUAAAAGGCUCAAGUGAAAGCUUGGUUUGGUCUAUUUGGAGAUGUGCUAAUCUUGAUGCAAGAUAGAUCCAUGGUCUGCAUGGAACGUACCAUAUGCUUAGAAAUUAAUGUGGACACACCCGACAGAACUCCUUGAUGACGUGUGUCAUAUGGAAUCUCGCUUUGAUGUGCUUAGAGACAGUAUUAGUUUUGGUGCAAGAUAUGUGCACUGUUUGCGCCUAAUGCAGCAAAGUCUAAGAAACCAUUUUGGAAGCACCUGUUGGUACUCCUAGGUGAAGAGGCUCAAGUGGAGGCUCAGUUCGGUCUGUUUAGAGAUAGUGCUAAUCUUGAUGCAAGAUAGGUGCACGAUUUGCAUGGAACAUACCAUAUGCUCAGAAAUCAAUUUGGAUGCACCAGAUGGAACUCCUAGAUGACAGUGUUAGUUUCGGUGCAAGAUAGGUGCACAGUUUGCACCUAAUGCACCAUAGAAUAAGAAACCAUUUUGGGCGCACCCGAUGGUACUCCUAGGUCAAGGGGCUCAAGUGAAAGCUCGGUUUGGUCUGUUUGGAGAUAGUGCUAAUCUUGAAGCAAGACAGAUGCACGGUUUGCAUGAAACAUACGAUAUGCUCAGAAAUCAAUUAGGACGCACCUGAUAUGACUCCUUGAUGAUGUGUGUCAUAUGGAAUCUUGCUUCGGUUCAUUUAGAGAGAGUGUUAGUUUUGGUAGAAGAUAUGUGCACGGUUUACGCCUAAUGCACCAUAGGCUAAGAAACCAAUUUAGACGCACCUGAUGGUACUCGUAGUUGAAGAGUCUCAAGUGGAGGCUCGAUUUGGUCUGUUCGGAUAUAGUGCUAAUCUUGAUGUAAAAUAGUUGUACAGUUUGCAUAGAACGUUCCAUAUGUUAAGAAAUUAAUUUGGACGCACCCAAUGGAACUCCUAGAUGACGUGUGUCAUAUGGAAUCUCGCUUCGGUCUGUUUGGAGACAAUGUUAGUUUUGGUGCAAGAUAGGUGCAUAGUUUGUGCCUAAUGCACCAUAGUAUAAGAAACCAUUUUUGAUGCACCUGUUUGUACUCCUAGAUGAAGAGGCUCAAGUGGAAGCUCGGUUCGGUCUGUGUGGGGAUAGUGUUAAUAUUGACGCAAGAUAGGUGCGCGGUUUGCAUGGAACAUACCAUAUGCUUGGAAAUCAAUUUGGAUGCACCCGACGGAACUCCUUGAUGACGUGUGUAAUAUGGAAUCUCACUUUGGUCUAUUUGGAAAUAGUGUUCGUUUCGAUGCAAGAUAUGUGCAUGGUUUGCGCCUAAUGCACCAUAGUCUAAGAAACCAUUGUGGAAGCACCUGUUGGAUCUUUGUUUAAGAGGCUCAAGUGGAAGCUCGGUUUGAUCUGUUUGGAGAUAGUGCUAAUCUUGAUGCAACAUAGGUGCAUGAUUUGCAAGGAACAUACAAUAUGCUUCGAAAUCAAUUUGGACGCACCCAAUGGAACUCCUAGCUGAUGUGUGUCAUAUGGAAUCUUGCUUCGGUUCAUUUGUAGACAUUGUAUGUUUUAGUGCAGGAUAGGUGCACAGUUUGCGCCUAAUGCACCAUAGUCUAAGAAACCAUUUUGGACGCACUAUUUGGUACUCGUGGUUGAACAGGCUCAAAUGGAAGCUUGGUUUGGUCAGUUUGGAGAUAGUGCUAAUCCUUAUGCAAGGUAGGUGCAUGGUUUGCAUGGAACAUACCAUAUGCUUAGAAAUCAAUUUGGAUGCACCUGAUGGAACUCCUUGAUGACGUGUGCUAUAUGGAAUCUCGCUUCGGUCCACUUGGAGACAUUGUUAGUUUCGGUGCAAGAUAGGUGCCCAGUUUGCACCUAAUGCACCAUAGUCUAAGAAACCAUUUUGGACGCACUUGUUGGUACUCCUAGGUGAAGGGGCUCAAGUGGAUGCUCGGUUCGGUCUGUUUGGAGAUAGUGCUAAUCUUGAUGCAAGAUAGGUGCACGGUUUGCUUGGAACGUACCAAAUACUUGGAAAUCAAUCUGGACGCACAUGAUGGAACUCCUAGAUGACGUGUGUCAUACGAAAUCUUGCUUCGGUCUGUUUGGAGACAGUGUUAGUUUCGGUGCAAGAUAGGUGCAAGGUUUGCACAUAAUGCAGAAUUGGCUAAGAAACCAUUUUGGACGCACCCGAUGGUACUCCUAGGUAAAAGGCUCAAGUGAAAGCUCGGUUUGGUCUAUUUGGAGAUAGUGCUAAUCUUGAUGCAAGAUAGAUGCACGGUCUACAUGGAACUUACCAUAUGCUUAGAAAUUAAUUUGGACACACCCAUAGAACUCCUUGAUGACGUGUGCCCUAUGGAAUCUCGCUUUGGUGUGGUUAGAGACAGUAUUAGUUUUGGUGCAAGAUAUGUGCACGGUUUGCGCCUAAUGCACCAAAGUCUAAGAAACCAUUUUGGAAGCACCUGUUGGUACCCCUAGGUGAAGAGGCUCAAGUUGAGGCUCGGUUCGGUCUAUUUAGAGAUAGUGCUAAUCUUGAUGCAAGAUAGGUGCACGAUUUGCAUAGAACGUACCAAAUGCAUAGAAAUCAAUUUGGACGCACUAGAUGGAACUCCUAGAUGACAUGUGUCAUAUGGAAUCUCACUUCGGUCUGUUUAGAGACAGUGUUAGUUUCGGUGCAAGAUAGGUGCACGGUUUGCACCUAAUGCACCAUAGGAUAUGAAACUAUUUCGGACACACCCGAUGGUACUCCUAGGUCAAGGGGCUCAAGUGAAAGCUCGGUUUGGUCUGUUUGGAGAUAGUGCUAAUCUUGAUGCAAGAUUGCACAGUUUGUAUGGAACAUAUGAUAUGCUCAGAAAUCAAUUAGGACGCACCUAAUAUAACUCCUGGAUGAUGUGUGUCAUAUGGAAUCUUGAGUCGGUUCGUUUAGAGACAGUGUUUGUUUUGGUAGAAGAUAUGUGCACGGUUUACUCCUAAUGCACCAUAGGCUAAGAAACCUAUUUUAGACGCACCCGAUGGUACUCGUAGUUGAAGAGGCUCAAGUGGAGGCUCGAUUUGGUCUGUUCGGAUAUGGUGCUAAUCUUGAUGCAAGAUAGUUGCACAGUUUGCAUGGAACGUACCAUAUGUUAAGAAAUCAAUUUGGACGCACAUAAUGGAACUCCUAGAUGACGUGUGUCAUAUGGAAUCUCACUUCAGUCAGUUUGGAGACAAUGUUAGUUUUGGUGCAAGAUAGGUGCAUAGUUUGUGCCUUAUGCACCACAGUCUAAGAAACCAUUUUUGAUGCAUCUGUUUAUAAUCCUAGAUGAAGAGGCUCAAGUGGAAGCUUGGUUCGGUCUGUUUGGAGAUAGUGCUAUUCUUGAUGCAAGGUAGAUGCAUGGUUUGCAUGGAACAUACCAUAUGCUUGGAAAUCAAUUUGGAUGCACCCAAUGGAACUCCUUGAUGACGUGUGUCAUAUGGAAUCUCGCUUCGGUCCAUUUGGAGACAUUGUUAGUUUCGGUGCAAGAUAGGUGCACAGUUUGCACCUAAUGCACCAUAGUUUAAGAAACCAUUUUGGAUGCACUUGUUGGUACUCCUAGGUGAAGGGGCUUAAGUGGAUGCUCGGUUCAGUCUGUUUGGAGAUAGUGCUAAUCUUGAUGCAAGAUAGGUGCACGGUUUGCAUGGAACAUACCAAAUGCUUGGAAAUCAAUCUCGAUGCACGUGAUGGAACUCCUAGAUGACGUGUGUCAUACGAAAUCUUGCUUUGGUCUGUUUGGAGACAGUGUUAGUUUUGGUGCUAGAUAGGUGCAAGGUUUGCACAUAAUGCAGCAUAGGCUAAGAAACCAUUUUGGACGCACCCGAUGGUACUCCAAGGUAAAAGGCUCAAGUGAAAGCUCGGUUUGGUCUAUUUGGAGAUAGUGCUAAUCUUGAUGCAAGAUAGAUGCACGGUCUACAUGGAACGUACCAUAAGCUUAGAAAUUAAUUUGGACACACCUGACAGAACUCCUUGAUGACGUGUGUCAUAUGGAAUCUCGCUUUGGUGUGCUUAGAGACAGUAUUAGUUUCGGUGCAAGAUAUGUGCACGGUAUGCGCCUAAUGCACCAAAGUCUAAGAAACCAUUUUGGAAGCACCUCUUGGUACUCCUAGGUGAAGAGGAUCAAGUGGAGGCUCAGUUCGGUGUGUUGAGAGGUAGUGCUAAUCUUGAUGCAAGAUAGGUGCACGAUUUGCAUGGAACAUACCAUAUGCUUAGAAAUCAAUUUGGAAGCACAAGAUGCAACUCCUAGAUGACAUGUGUCAUAUGGAAUCUCACUUCGGUCCGUUUAGAGACAGUGUUAGUUUCGGUGCAAGAUAGGUGCACGGUUUGCACCUAAUGCACCAUAGGAUAUGAAACCAUUUUGGAUGCAUCCGAUGGUACUCCUAGGUCAAGGGGCUCAAGUGAAAGCUCGGUUUGGUCUGUUUGGAGAUAGUGCUAAUCUUGAUGCAAGAUUGCACAGUUUGUAUGGAACAUAUGAUAUGCUCAGAAAUCAAUUAGGACGCACCUAAUAUAACUCCUGGAUGAUGUGUGUCAUAUGGAAUCUUGAGUCGGUUCGUUUAGAGACAGUGUUUGUUUUGGUAGAAGAUAUGUGCACGGUUUACUCCUAAUGCACCAUAGGCUAAGAAACCUAUUUUAGACGCACCCGAUGGUACUCGUAGUUGAAGAGGCUCAAGUGGAGGCUCGAUUUGGUCUGUUCGGAUAUGGUGCUAAUCUUGAUGCAAGAUAGUUGCACAGUUUGCAUGGAACGUACCAUAUGUUAAGAAAUCAAUUUGGACGCACAUAAUGGAACUCCUAGAUGACGUGUGUCAUAUGGAAUCUCACUUCAGUCAGUUUGGAGACAAUGUUAGUUUUGGUGCAAGAUAGGUGCAUAGUUUGUGCCUUAUGCACCACAGUCUAAGAAACCAUUUUUGAUGCAUCUGUUUAUAAUCCUAGAUGAAGAGGCUCAACUGGAAGCUUGGUUCGGUCUGUUUGGAGAUAGUGCUAUUCUUGAUGCAAGGUAGGUGCAUGGUUUGCAUGGAACAUACCAUAUGCUUGGAAAUCAAUUUGGAUGCACCCAAUGGAACUCCUUGAUGACGUGUGUCAUAUGGAAUCUCGCUUCGGUCCAUUUGGAGACAUUGUUAGUUUCGGUGCAAGAUAGGUGCACAGUUUGCACCUAAUGCACCAUAGUUUAAGAAACCAUUUUGGAUGCACUUGUUGGUACUCCUAGGUGAAGGGGCUUAAGUGGAUGCUCGGUUCAGUCUGUUUGGAGAUAGUGCUAAUCUUGAUGCAAGAUAGGUGCACGGUUUGCAUGGAACAUACCAAAUGCUUGGAAAUCAAUCUCGAUGCACGUGAUGGAACUCCUAGAUGACGUGUGUCAUACGAAAUCUUGCUUUGGUCUGUUUGGAGACAGUGUUAGUUUUGGUGCUAGAUAGGUGCAAGGUUUGCACAUAAUGCAGCAUAGGCUAAGAAACCAUUUUGGACGCACCCGAUGGUACUCCUAGGUAAAAGGCUCAAGUGAAAGCUCGGUUUGGUCUAUUUGGAGAUAGUGCUAAUCUUGAUGCAAGAUAGAUGCACGGUCUACAUGGAACGUACCAUAAGCUUAGAAAUUAAUUUGGACACACCUGACAGAACUCCUUGAUGACGUGUGUCAUAUGGAAUCUCGCUUUGGUGUGCUUAGAGACAGUAUUAGUUUCGGUGCAAGAUAUGUGCACGGUAUGCGCCUAAUGCACCAAAGUCUAAGAAACCAUUUUGGAAGCACCUCUUGGUACUCCUAGGUGAAGAGGAUCAAGUGGAGGCUCAGUUCGGUGUGUUGAGAGGUAGUGCUAAUCUUGAUGCAAGAUAGGUGCACGAUUUGCAUGGAACGUACCAUAUGCUUAGAAAUCAAUUUGGAAGCACAAGAUGCAACUCCUAGAUGACAUGUGUCAUAUGGAAUCUCACUUCGGUCCGUUUAGAGACAGUGUUAGUUUCGGUGCAAGAUAGGUGCACGGUUUGCACCUAAUGCACCAUAGGAUAUGAAACCAUUUUGGAUGCAUCCGAUGGUACUCCUAGGUCAAGGGGCUCAAGUGAAAGCUCGGUUUGGUCUGUUUGGAGAUAGUGCUAAUCUUGAUGCAAGAUUGCACAGUUUGUAUGGAACAUAUGAUAUGCUCAGAAAUCAAUUAGGACGCACCUAAUAUAACUCCUGGAUGAUGUGUGUCAUAUGGAAUCUUGAGUCGGUUCGUUUAGAGACAGUGUUUGUUUUGGUAGAAGAUAUGUGCACGGUUUACUCCUAAUGCACCAUAGGCUAAGAAACCUAUUUUAGACGCACCCGAUGGUACUCGUAGUUGAAGAGGCUCAAGUGGAGGCUCGAUUUGGUCUGUUCGGAUAUGGUGCUAAUCUUGAUGCAAGAUAGUUGCACAGUUUGCAUGGAACGUACCAUAUGUUAAGAAAUCAAUUUGGACGCACAUAAUGGAACUCCUAGAUGACGUGUGUCAUAUGGAAUCUCACUUCAGUCAGUUUGGAGACAAUGUUAGUUUUGGUGCAAGAUAGGUGCAUAGUUUGUGCCUUAUGCACCACAGUCUAAGAAACCAUUUUUGAUGCAUCUGUUUAUAAUCCUAGAUGAAGAGGCUCAACUGGAAGCUUGGUUCGGUCUGUUUGGAGAUAGUGCUAUUCUUGAUGCAAGGUAGGUGCAUGCUUUGCAUGGAACAUACCAUAUGCUUGAAAAUCAAUUUGGAUGCACCCAAUGGAACUCCUUGAUGACGUGUGUCAUAUGGAAUCUCGCUUCGGUCCAUUUGGAGACAUUGUUAGUUUCGGUGCAAGAUAGGUGCACAGUUUGCACCUAAUGCACCAUAGUUUAAGAAACCAUUUUGGAUGCACUUGUUGGUACUCCUAGGUGAAGGGGCUUAAGUGGAUGCUCGGUUCAGUCUGUUUGGAGAUAGUGCUAAUCUUGAUGCAAGAUAGGUGCACGGUUUGCAUGGAACAUACCAAAUGCUUGGAAAUCAAUCUCGAUGCACGUGAUGGAACUCCUAGAUGACGUGUGUCAUACGAAAUCUUGCUUUGGUCUGUUUGGAGACAGUGUUAGUUUUGGUGCUAGAUAGGUGCAAGGUUUGCACAUAAUGCAGCAUAGGCUAAGAAACCAUUUUGGACGCACCCGAUGGUACUCCUAGGUAAAAGGCUCAAGUGAAAGCUCGGUUUGGUCUAUUUGGAGAUAGUGCUAAUCUUGAUGCAAGAUAGAUGCAGGGUCUACAUGGAACGUACCAUAUGCUUAGAAAUUAAUUUGGACACACCUGACAGAACUCCUUGAUGACGUGUGUCUUAUGGAAUCUCGCUUUGGUGUGCUUAGUGGACAGUAUUAGUUUCGGUGCAAGAUAUGUGCACGGUAUGCGCCUAAUGCACCAAAGUCUAAGAAACCAUUUUGGAAGCACCUCUUGGUACUCCUAGGUGAAGAGGAUCAAGUGGAGGCUCGGUUCGGUCUGUUUAGAGAUAGUGCUAAUCUUGAUGCAACAUAGGUGCACGAUUUGCAUGGAACAUACCAUAUGCUUAGAAAUCAAUUUGGAAGCACAAGAUGCAACUCCUAGAUGACAUGUGUCAUAUGGAAUCUCACUUCGGUCCGUUUAGAGACAGUGUUAGUUUCGGUGCAAGAUAGGUGCACGGUUUGCACCUAAUGCACCAUAGGAUAUGAAACCAUUUUGGAUGCAUCCGAUGGUACUCCUAGGUCAAGGGGCUCAAGUGAAAGCUCGGUUUGGUCUGUUUGGAGAUAGUGCUAAUCUUGAUGCAAGAUUGCACAGUUUGUAUGGAACAUAUGAUAUGCUCAGAAAUCAAUUACACUAUGAGAAACUUGCUAAUCCGUGACGGAUUCUAGGUGACGGAUUUCUAAACCGUCACUAACAGACACAAUCUGUGACGAUAAUUCUUUUCUGUCAUGGAUGUACACCAAUUGGAUAUUCCCAGCCCGCUAAUUCGUGACGAUUUUAUCAAGAUUGUCACGAUGCAUGAUUUAAAAUUCGUCACACUCUAUUUAGCCCAAAACAAUAGGCAUGCUAUCAAUAUUUAGUGCAAAGAAAAAUAAAAAAUGUGAUUACAAAAAGAAUAAAAAAAUUAGCGUAUGUUGCUAUUUUUCUGUCAUAGUCUAGUUAGCCUAAAACAAUAGCCCUGCCAUCAAUAUUUAGUGCAAAGAAAAUUAAAAAAUAUGAUUGUAAAAAGAAUAAAAAAAUUCCACAACACACAGGACGUGAACCUAGCACCUACCGGUGAGCUAUUUGUUCUAUAUAUAUAACUAAAUGUGUAAUUGAAUACUUUUAUUUGUUUUAUGCUCAUGUGCUUUAUUUUUUCUGCCUACUGUGUGUGUAAUUGCUAAUUCACGUUGUAAAUACAAGAAAAAAAAUUAAAAUAAUGCGCCAAAAACUAAACGCAGCGUGGGGCUCGAACCAGGC